RNAcentral lists this long non-coding RNA (46460 nucleotides) under Vitis vinifera (wine grape). RNAcentral's name for it is "long non-coding RNA (VVIN_LNC003689)". Lineage: Eukaryota; Viridiplantae; Streptophyta; Magnoliopsida; Vitales; Vitaceae. The record is from RNAcentral.
AUUCUCAGUUUCGCCACAAGCAUUAUUUACAAUAAAAUUAAACAGAAAAAUGGAUUCCAUACUUCUAAAUGCAUGAUUAACGAUAGGUAGAGUAUUCACAGGUUCAAGUCCUGAAAAAUGUUUCCAUCUCAAUUAGGUAGUAGUAAGCACAGUCAAGCAUCUAUAGGUCAAUGAUGAGGGAACAAUGGAAGGGAAAAAAGCUUGCAGGGGCAACAGAAUGAAAAUGUAAUGACCAACUGAAUUUGUUUAGGCUUCUGCAGGCAUCCAUGCUAUGGUUGUUACAUAGCUUGGGGAGGGAUGUACCUAAAGGAAGGUUCAAUGCCUUCGUUUGAGUAUGUUGAUUGGUUAGGAUCUUAAUGAGACAGAGAGAGUUUCUUUUUGUGUUCUCUCUUGUUUGUCUUUGCCUUUUAGUGCUGAUUGUGUCCGUCCUGUGUCCUCUAAUGUACUCUUUUGUUGCUAUAUACAUACGUCUUGUAUUGCCUAUCAAAAGAAUAUAAAUACAAUCCACCCCGCAUACAAAUGUCGUCUAUGGAAAUUGUUCAAAAUUGGGUAUAAUGCAUCUGUUGAGAGAGAGAGUUGAAUAAACUUCCAAAAGAAACAUGGUUAAUUUAUCCAAACAAGAACGUAAUAUAGAAUCCUCAACUGUACAAGUGGAUCCCAGGUUGAGCUCAUCUCAAAUUCAAAAUUCCUAUCUUAUCCUACUGCAGUUUUUAAGAGCAUCACGCUUCAAUGUUUAAUAAGCUAGAUUACAGUAAAGCCAUGUCAAGAACUUAUCUUAGUUGCUGAAGUAACUCAAAAAAAUAAAAAGUUUUUAGAAAAUACGUCUUUGAAGAUCUAGGCCCAACACUAAAAAGUUGGAAGAAAAUAGGAGUACCAAAAUUUAGGUUCAGCCCUGCUUGACUAGGGAAAACAAAAAAAAUGCCCAUAGUGUUUGCUUUUGUCAAAACUUUUUCUUUUGGUUAGGCAAGCUUGCAACAAUGACCUGGAUUUUUACAUCCAAUGUUGAUGGCUUAACUGGUAAGCAAAGGUGGCAAGUCAAUGAAGAAAGGAAAUAUGGAAUGGGCCCGCGGUGGAAAACUUUUGGUCUUUAUCAUAGAUUGAUUGAUGGUAAUAACUUUGUUUGUUUUUUUUUUUUUUCAUAUAUAUUUAUUUUAUGACAAGGAAUUGAACCCAAGACCUCCACAGUACCCAAUCCAAACUCUUGCCACUUGAGCCAAGCCUCAAAGGUAGUAAACAUCAUUGAUGUUAACUUCUUCAUUCACAAAAAUAAGUGGUGGAAAUGGCUUCUAGCAGAUGUUAAAUUACUGAACAUUGAGUUGUUGCUCGCUUGAAAAUCAUGAAGGAGUUGGAUUUUAAGGUACAAUUAAUCAACAAAGAGCCAACAAACAAUUUUCCAAACUUAAAUAUUUGAAAUUGACAUAAAGCAUAACAUCAUAUAUCUCAAAUUUAAGUAAUCUAAUGCAACUGAUCCUUCACAGACACUAAACAAUGACAAAGAAAAUUCAUCUUCAGUAGAUGCUGAGAAAAAUGAAACAGAAAAUAUAAUAAAUUUUUGAACUUUCAUGCUAUUUUCAAUUUCCUUGUAUUACCAACAAUGAAAAUUCUGCAGCACAAAAAUUCAAAUUUUAUUUUAUGUUUACGGCGGCCUAAGCAAACCUAAAGAUAAAAUAUUUCACUUCGUUUUUCUCACUUUUUCUCAUGAGCCAAACAUUAAGAAAAAAAAAAUUGAAAGCUAACACCCCUUUUCAACACCCUUUUAACACAAUUCCAAGAGCGUUACAACGUAAGAUGCACAAUUCUCUUUGUUUCUCACAUUUCCUCUGCAACCAAACAAACCACAACAAGACAUACUCAAGAUAUAAACAAAAUACCUUGAUCGUUACGAGCAGUGAAGAUGAUCGCCCCAGUCUCAUCCCCAACAAGACACUCAGCAAUACGAGUGUGGCGAAGAUGCUGCGACACCGAUCGGCCCUUUUGCAACACGGUCUUAGAGCUCACCACCUUCACCGUCAGAGUGUGGCCACCCGUCCCCGGCUUCAACUGGUCCACCUUCGUGAACACCGGCUUCCUCUUCUCCGUCACAGCUGCCUUCGCCGUCUCCGUGGUCUCCGUGGUCUCCGUUGUCAUCGCCGUCUCCGUAGUCGCCGUUUCCAUCACCGUCUCUGUAGUCGCCGUUUCCAUCGCUCAAAAACCCUAGCUUCAGGAUCCAAAUCGGUUGGGGACGUUAAGAAGCCCUAGAAUAAAAACAAACGUGUUAGGGUUUUGCUUUUAGACUUAGACAUGGACUUGGACCCUUUUAGAGCUACCUUUGUGCAAAGGGAAAUUGAUUAGGUGAGAGACAAGUAAAGGAUAUAUUCGGAAAUAGUGGGUGUAUCAUGCAUGGUAACUUCAUCACUAAGUAAAUUAAAUAUUUUUUAUAAAAUAAAUUAAUAUAAAAAUUAAAAUUAAAAAUGAUUUUAAGUAACAAAUAAAAAUAAUUAAUUUAUUUUUAAGUCAACAUCUUUUUUUUAUAUUUUUACUUCAUUUAUCUUAAUUAUCUUUACGUUCUUCUUUAUUAUUACACGACUUUAUUUACCCUACUUAUAAUUUAUAAGGAUAAAUAUAUCAAUUUAAUAAUUUAGGAUAAAAUUUUAAUUAAUUUUAUCAAAUAAAUUUAAUAUUUAAAAUAAUAAUUAAGCAAUAAGUUUUGAGUGAACAACUCAAAUAUAAUUGAACUUAAAAUCAAUUUAAAUUAUUAAAUAAUAAAUAUUAAGUUUUAUCAAACAUUCCUUUAAUUGGUGAUCCUCCUACCACAUCAGAUUCACCAACAUCAUUCCAUCCUACCACGCUUUUCAUGUCUUGUGGUCGAAACAUAAAUUGUAUGUAGGUUAAAUUCAUAUCGAAAUAUAUAACUGGUUUAGUAAUAAUUUUUGAAUCUUAACUUACAUUAAAUGAAUUUAAUCAUAAUUAAUAUAAUAAUUAUUAUUAUUCAUAUUGAAUUUAAAUUAACCUAUUUAAUAGAAUAUCUGAGUUUAGAUACUACACAAAUAUGACCUAGCAACUCGAAUUGAUACCUUGAUCACAUCUAUAUAAAAACGUUUUCUUUUUCAAUUUAUUUUGAUUAAUUUAUAAAUUCAACAAGUACAAUGUAAUUAUAUACUUGUUUAAAAAAAAAAACAGACACGACAUUAUAUUUUAAAUUUAUUGUCAUAUCAAUCUAACCAACCUCUAUAGGAUGAAAUAAAGGUAUGAUUGGACUAUUGGAUUGAUAGUGGUUAAUUUUAAUUAAUCUUACAUUAUUUUACUUAAUACAUAUGCAAAAUCAUUGUGGAUUUAUGAAUUCAAAAUAUUUGAUGAACAAUAGAGACAAGCCGAUGAAACUUGUUCCUUUGUAUAGAAACAUUUAGGGUAUGUUUGAUUUUAGGAAAAUACAGUGAAAAUGUCGGAAUUGGAAAUAGAAAAUAAUAGUAGUCUUUUCUUUAAAAUAGAAAGGGAAGAGAAAAAGUGAAAAAAAUAAAAUAAAAAAUUAAAAUCAUUAAAUCAUUUUAUACAUUUUAUUUAGAAAUGUAUAAAUUUUUAUUUACUUCUUAAUUAUAUUUGAUUUUUUUUUUCAUAUUUUGUACGUUGAAAAUCAAAUAUGAGAAAAUUAUUUUUCUUAAUUUUUUUUUUUAGUAUUUUUCAAGAACCAAACACACCUUUUAGAGAAAUUUUGAAAUAUAUUUGGAUAGUUAUCGAUAUUUAAAAUAUUAUUUACUUUUUUUUAUGGGAAUACAAAUCUUUUCAAUUUUCAAAUUCACCAUUUUAUUUAUUUUAAUUACCAAAAUUUUUAAUUUCUUUAUUUCAAAUUGAGGACAACUUGUCUUCCUCUUAUGCAAAGCCAUGUGACAAGUGUCACAAUUGGAGUUUCAUGGAAUUAUUACCAAGUACAAUUAACACUAAUUUAAAUAGGCAAAAAAGGCAGAGGCAUUUUUAUUUAUACAAGUAAGCUGUGAUCACAUCUUCCACUAUAUGUUUUCCAUCAGCUGUUAGUGCUAUAUAUGGAGAGAGACUCAUCCACUCUGCAGAAAAGUAAACAAAUAAAAUGGGAUUCAGAAUGGGAGAAAUCAAACUGCUACUCUACUUCUGGGAUCCUCCUCCUCCUCCUCCUCCUCCUCCUCCUCCCACAACCAUUGUGAGUUGUGGCUGCUGCUGCUGCUCUUUUUCCUCUCCUUCUGCUUCCCUUUCUUCCAUGUUUGCUUCUGAUUGCUGCCGAUGAUAUCGGAGUAUUACCAGAGCUAUAAAUGCUGCCCACAGAACAUCAUGAACUACAUUUUAGGUAGAGAAAAUGAUGCAACUUUUCUAACAUCUUAUAAUUUCCAGAAUUUAACAAGACUUCUGCAAUUGAUAUGUAAACCCCACCUGCAAAAAUCCGUGUUUUUAUAGCAGAUAGAUUCCAAAAUACUGUGACUGCUGAUGCUGCAACUAUCUUCUUGUGAGAGCAGGCUCCCCAUGCUUCCACCACCCACCCUUUCAAGUACUCAACUGCAUCAACAAUAACACAGUUUCGAUAUCUCAUGACAAACUAGAAAGCAAAACAAAGGGAGCAAGGGCUUGGCUUGUUGUUUCUAUAUACCUCGCGUGUUUAUCUGAGCAGAGUAGCAAGAGUAAAGCUUUGGGAUGGUGAAGCUGAUGAAAAACCCUGCUCACAUUAAUGCACAUCAUUAUCCAUUUUCCAAAUCUAUUUUCCAAAGGGUCACUAUAGAUUUUCUUUUUUUUCUGGGGUCCUGAGAUCUUACCGAGUGCACAGAGUCUCCUUACUGUUAGAAGAUGGCCAUACUCAGCUCCCACAAGGAAGAAUGGGGCAACCUGAAACACGAAAAAUUGGCUGAUUUGAUCACCCUUUUGAGCAAUCUGAAGCAUUGUAUUAUUACAGUAGGAGGAGUGAAUUGUUGUGAAUACCUUGAGGGUCAUGGAUGGUUCCCCUGAAAAAAGUUGUAUUGUCUUUGAAAUGGCAAGAUUUGUAGCUGGAAGUAUAGCUCUGGCCACUCGCAAAAUGUCGUCUUCCUUGAGCUUAAACUCGCGUCUCUUUUCAACAUUAUCCCUGUUUAUCAACCCUUGACGUCACUCAGAAAAUACUGCUACAUUGAUAGGAAUCAUAACAUGAGGUGAUGAAUUCAGUUUCUACCUUUGGUACAGUGAGUUUGAGAAGAACGACAAACCGAGAAAUAAAAGUCCCAGCUGGGAGAUUGCCGAGAAAAUACUGAAAACAUGAAAUCCCCAGUUCUUAGAUUCUUUAGAUCGCAAGAAUAUUGAAGAAAAUUGAGAUACUGAGAUAGAGGAGCAGUGUGGUGGAUACCUAAAGCUUAUUCCUCUGGUAAAACAGGAGGAGAGGAAGCAAACAGAACCAAAACCGAACCAAAAGCUUGAUUUGGAAGCAUCUUUCCACAUUAUCAAAUCAGUGACUAGCUGCCCGAUUCUGUGUAGGUUACUGAGGUCAUCUUCAUUGGCUUCUGAAACCAGCAUCAGCCAAAGGGUGGUAAAUCAAAUCAUACAAAGGGCUAAAGAAUGAAACAGAGCAAAACAGAGGAAAAUAGAUGAAUUCAGACGUACUUGGAGAUGAACUUGAAGAAGGAACAGAGGGAACCAAACUCAACUUCUCCUUCCUCGACCGCCCGCUAUGCCGCCUUUUCCUCAACUUUCCCAUCUCCUCCGCCAUACCAAAAUCCUUGUCUUCUCUCACAUCUUGCUCCACCCUCCUCCGAGGCCUUCGGGUAUUCCUCGGAGAAGCACACCCCAAUACCCCCAUCUGGCUAAUUCUGCUCUUGCACCGCCUUCGAGAUCCAGUGGCCUCUAGAGGCUCUUCCCCCAUGUCUAUCCUUUCAGUGAGCCGGGUUCUCGAUCUUCGAAGCGGCGAAGGCGAAAGAAGUAAGAGUUCGUGGAGAGGAAGAGGAUUAGAAGGAGACAGAGUUUUACUUGGUGACAGUGUGCUGAGAUCGAGAGAGAUUUUAGGCCUUUCUUGGCCUCCUUGAUCGAUUUCCCCAAUCCGAGCGGGGCGGGAGGCUGAUUUAGUCCCAGAUCGAGGCUCAGAUUGGUGAGAGAGAGGUGGAGAGUCCAUGGUUGAGCUUGAACUUUGUGUAUGGAUUGAGUGAAGACUGAGGGUUUUGGGAGAUCUGCUAGGGUAUUGAAGUAGGGUUUAGGGAAAUAUAGCCGUUAGAGUUAUGUUUUGAAUUUUUUAGCGAGGCAGGUGGGUCUGUGCCUCUGUGGCCUCAACGGUAGGAAAUUAGUGGCCGGCCGUUUGUUUGUCCCGUUUAUGGGGUCCCAUGAUUUGUGAAAGUAACAUUGGAGCCGUUGAUGUUGUAUGAACACGUGCUCUAAGCCGUUGGAUUCAUCUUUCAUACAAUUUUUCUUUUCUUUUUCCAUACUUUUUUUUUUUUUUGCAAUUUCAACAUUUUUGUAGCUUUACCAAUUUUGUAACCUUUCCCCAAAAUGCUUGUAAAUAAUAUGAUUUACAUCUUUUGAUUUCUUAAUUUAUAAGAAUAAUAUAUCGUGAUUUUUUUUUUUAUUUUAUAAAUAAUUGUCUCCUUCUGGACAAGUUAAAACAAGGACAUGAUGUGGAAACUUUAUAGUAUCUUUAUAUCUCUAAUAAAUGUUGUUUGGUAAGACAAUUUAAUAAUUUAACUUAAAUUAUUAAAUAGAUUAAGAUUAUAUUUAUUUUUUUAACUUAAUGUUAAAUGUAAAUUGCUAUCAGACUUAAAAAGUUUGUUUUUAACUUUUCUUUACUUAUUAGUUAUUUUAUAAAUACUUAAUAUUGAAUAUUAAAAAUAAUUUUUUGAAACAAUCAAAACAUUAUCUCGACAUGACUCUUAUCUAAUCAAUACUUAAUACUUAACAAAAAUAAAGUAAUAAAAAAAAUAACUUAAUACUUAAUACUAUUAAGUUUUAAAGUUAAGUGAAAUUAAGUUUUAUUUACAUUUAAGUGAAAAAUAAAAUAAAAGAUGAAUUAUGAAUAUAAAGUUAUAAUCAUAAAAUAUACAUUCAUUGAAUAUGGGUAAACAAAAUAAAAGAAUUUUGAUUUAAUAUUGAAAGUUAUUUUUACUCUAAGCUGUGAUAUUAAAUUAUUUUAUUAAAUAUACUUAAUCCAUUUAAUGAUUUUAAUUAAGUCAACAAAUCAUAUUAAGUGAUUAAGUUGAUUUAACAAAUACCUUCUUAAUAAAUCUCUUUUACAAACAUUAUUUUAUAUUUACUAUUCCUUUUUUAUAGUAAAUAUUUUUUUAAUUGUUUUAUGAAUUGACAAUACUUUUAAUAAGGAUACUUAAGAAAUAUUUAUUGAAGGUAAAUAUUAAUAAUUUGAUCAUUUAGAAAAAAAAAUAAAUUAAUUUGAUCAAAUUACCAAAAUAUUUAAAGUAGAAAUAAAGUAAUAAAUUUUAAGUCAAUAAUUAAAAAAUGAUGAAACUUAAAGUUAAUUUAAACCAUUAAAUAAUAAGUAUUAAAGUUUAUAAAAUGACAUCUUAAUAAACUCACUUAAUAGCUUGAAGACUUAAUUUAAGUGUUUAAGCACGCUAAAUAUUUUGGGUAAAAUAAUUUAAUAUUGAAAUUUAAAGUAAAUAAGUUAAAAUAAAUAAUCUUUUCUAGAUGGUGUAAGGGGGAAAGAGAUUUGUUUUUACUCCUGUAUUUUUUAUAUACACGUUUGGUAAGAUCAUUUCCAUCUUGUAUACAUCCAAUUAAUUUAGAGUAUGUGGGAAUGAGAAUGAUAAAUCAAUUUCAUUUCUUAUUUAUUAUUAAAUUUGGAUUAUAAUUAAAAAUGGUAAUAAAAAAUUAUUUUCAUGGAAAAUUCAUUCUUAUAGAAACCAAGAGUCUAUUUGGUUGCCUAUUUAAAAAUUGUUUCUAAAAAUUUAUAAUAAUGUUUUUGCAGUGGUUUUUUAGAAACAAUUUUUACAAAGUGAAAUAGAGAAUGAUUUUUAUAAAAUAAACUUAAAAUAAUAUAUAAAAAUAAUUUCUUAGUUUUAAAUUAAUUUUUUAUCCUACUUUGUUUUCGCUUUCCUUUUACCUUUCUUUUUCUCAUAUUUUUAUCAAAAUUUUCAAGAAUCAAACACUAUCUUAAAGACUAUGUUUGAUUCUAGGAAAAUGCUAAGAAAAAAAAAUUUAAGGAAAAUAAUUUUCUCGGGUUUUACUAUAAAAAAAAAAUCAAAUAUAAUUAAAAUUAAUUAAAAAUGUAUAUAUUUUUAAAUUAUUUAAUCUUACUAUAAUAGAAAAAAAUAAGUAAAAUGAACUUAAAUAUAUAAAAAUAAUUUAUUAAAUUUAAACUUAUUUUUUCUUUCUUUCUCAUUUUCCCUUUUCCCUUGAAUUUUCCGGGAACCAAACUGUUUGGCAUUCUACUCUGCUUGUACAAACCAUAGAAUCAAAAACUGUUUUUUCUCAUACCUUACUUCCACUUGCAAGAUUAUUGGAAGGCUGACAAAUUUUAUCUUGAAAGAUAUUGUCAAUUGAUUGAUCCUUGUGUCCACAGUUUUCUAGUCAUCCAUUUUUCUUUCUUCCAUCCAACAUAAUUUUCCAUUCUUCCCAGUAGUUAUUACACUGCUGAUCCAUAUUUGCCACCAAGCUAGUAGCACAGAUCUUAAGUUCCGAGAAGUCCAUACAUUUAAUAGAAUUGUUCCCUCAAAUUUUGAGGAUACAAUAACAGACAGUUUAAUGUCUAUUGGCACCUUACAGAUCAUGAGAUUCAACAAACAUUGAAUUGAUCUGAGAUGAAGUCUUUAUUCCUUCUUGGCAUGCCUCUGGUAGAAGGCUUUGAUCCUUCCAAGUCCAUCUUCGAGGGAAGGUGGAUCAAUGGCAAAAGUUACCCGAAGCCAGUUCUUCAUUCCCACAGAUACACCUGCAACAAAUAUCCCAAAAUUAUUAGACCCACUUUGUUUUUGUUAUCCAAUAUACAAGCAACUAAAACUAAUGUAGGGCUGCAACUCUGAUGGAUUCAGUCCGGUUGAUGGCUAACGCAAACCUAACUUGAAUUAAGAAACAAUUAAUCUAAGUCCAACCCAACUCGCCCUUUAAUAUAAGGUUCUCAACCUUAUUUUUCUAAGUUCAAAUUAAGUUUGAAUUAUAUAGAAUAAUAUACAUUAUAAAUAUUAUAAAAAUAUCAAAUCGGUCUAGAGUUAGGCUUUGGUUAUCGGAUCAUUGACCCAUGUCUAACCCAAAUUGAGUUAGGUUGAAAAAAAUAGACUCAAGUCUGUCCAAAGAUCAAGUUGGGUCGGAGCAACCUAAGCUAACCAAGGUUGCUUGCUUCUUACCUGGAAGGACAAUCACUGAUUCCUCUUUAGACAGCUUCAUACAGAACUCUACAUCAUCAUCAAUAUCCUCCAAUAGAGACAGGUUCAACUUGACCUGAAAAGAAACCGUAAUUGAGAAUAAUCUUCAUCUCAAUAUUCUGAAGUGCAAACUAUAUCAUGUUUUCCUUCUCCCUUUACCAUUACAAACAUGGAUCCUUCCGGCUUCUGUGGGCAAGUAAUGCAGGGGAUACCCUUAAUUCUGUCAUGAAUUAUGUCGGCACAUUCUCUGAGUAUGCUGAUAGUGUUUGAGAAGAAAUCCUCUUUUGUUUUCUCCAGGAUCUCAGGGAUUGCACCCUGAUAAAUGAACCAAAUCAUUGAUCAGUGUGUUCGAUCUCUUUAAGAAAUGAAGAACAAAAAAAAAAAAAUGGCAUGGUCCCUUACAAACCUGAAUAAAAGUUGCGGGAUCAGAAGAAAUAUUGAGACAGCUUAUAAUGCUCUCAACAACCUGAGAUGAAAAGCAACAAAGAUAUAAGUUGAGUGUUCUAUAACCAGGAAGUUUCCUACCUAGUCAAUGUUUCCAAUUCUACUACACAUGGGAUCAUAUACUGAAAUUAAGUUCAAAUUCAUGCUUUAUUACCGUAUUCUUCUUGGGAUAGUGUUAGAUUUUUCAUUAAAAAUGAGUAGGUUUAUGUAAAGGCCCACUCCCUCCCAUGUAGAUAUUGUUUGGAGUAAGGCCAACAAGAUAUCAUUGUUUUAAAACGUGUCUACAUGGUAAAGAGGAGUUUAUUCACAUAUAGUAUUAAGAACUUCUUCCCUAUCUGAUAUGACCCCACAAUCACAAUGUUCUUGUUAUGUCCCAUGAGAUUGGAAGAUCAGAUAGACGUUUCUUUCUUAUAUGGACGGAUAGACAUAGUUCCACACUAAGGUCAGAGAUUUGCUCUGAUACUAUUUGUGACAGCUCACUCCCUCCCAUAUAGAUAUUAACGGCUUUGAGCCUAAUAAACUAUAACGAUUUUAAAAUGCAUCUAUAUGGUUACGGGGAACUUAUAUAGAUAUGUAUAGAGUACUCAAUACUUUUUCACCUAUUCAAUGAGGUUAUAUCCAUACAAUCCUAGAAUUAUAUAUGCAUAUUAAAAUAUGAAGUCAAAAGAGAAUUAUAAGUGGCAAAAGAGGACCCCAGAUUUGUGAAGGAUGCCAUUGAGGUCAUUUGUCACGAGCCAACCGAGUCUCCAACCAGGAACAACCCAUCUCUUUGAUAUAGAACCAACUGUAACGAUGGGCACAAUCGAUCCAAACACUCCCAUAGGUACAAAAGGUUUACUACCAAAAGCAAGAUGGCCGUAAACUUCAUCAGAAAUCACCAUAAUCCCAAGAUUUCUUGCCGUUUCUGCAACCUGAAACUCAAAAAACCAUUAACCAACUUAUGAUAAAUCAACAAGUUUAUGAUAAAUGGAAUGUUGCCACAUAAUCCACCUUCUUCAAGUGUUCAUAUGUGAAGACACUGCCAGAAGGAUUUCCGGGGUUUACGAUAACCAUGGCAACAGUGUUUUCAUCUGCAAGAGCUUUGACUGCCUCAAGAUCGACCUCCCAACCCUGCUCUGGAAGAAGGUCAAAAUGGCGGACCUCGAGAUUGUCAGCUGCAGCUCGGGCUUCAUAGUAUGGGAAGCCAGGUCUAGGUAGGAGAAUGUUGGCACCAGGGCGUGCCAGUACUUGUAUCAUUAUUUCAAUUGCCUGAGUACAUCCAAUUGUGAGAUAAAUAUCAUCUGGUGAUAGCUGGUAUGGAAGAUCCCUAGAGAGAUACUCUGCAACAGCCCUGUUAACAAAAUCUAAGUAUUAAGCAUCAUCUGGUCGAGUAGACUAAUACGAAACUUUGUGAAAUCAAACAAUUAUCGUCAUUGAUUGCCCUUCAACGAUUAUUUGAUUAAAAGAGAUGAAAUAAUUGAUAUCAUAAAAGUAACCUUUCACAUGUUUCGACAGUUGGAUUGUUUAUCGAUACUUUUACAAGAAAAGAUGAAAUGCAUUUAUGUCCAAAAGAGAAGCAUUUUUAGACUCAAACAUGGAAGAGAUUACUUUUGCAAUAUCGGGACUAUUUAAUCCUCUUAAUCAACUCAUGUCACACUCACAACAACAAUAGCACCUACCAUUUGGGCAGGACUAACCAUAGGACCUGAACUCAUGUCACACUCAUAAGAAGUCAAAAUAAGGAAACCAUCUAUGUUUGUUCACAUAUCACUCUAGCUACUACCAUUUCUCUAAGGAAGCCCUUGUCAAAUGCCAAGAAGAUUUCAAAAUGGAUUUUUGGGAGAAAAGGGUUCCAAAAUUCAUGAUCAUAAACAAAAAUCUCCAAGCCACCCGUGAGUGGGGUUUAUGCCCACCAUUCAUUACUGCAGUAUGAGGUCAGUGACAAUGCAUGGCAACCUGGAAUUGUCCUUCCAAGUUCCGAAUAAGGCCAGAGAUACAGAGGACUGUGUGCCAACUGUGACAACAUGCUGCAGUGUAAGCAGACAAGCUUCACCUGGGUUUUGUGGCUGGAAUCAACACUCGCUAUCUGUCAAAUUUUGAACGUUUUUUUUCCUAAUGUUUGAGCAGUACACACACUACAAACUUUCAUACUAACAAACCCACAUCGGAAAGCAAUUCAGACAGAGAUAAUAAUAAAUAAAUAAAAUCUGCAUAUAAUAAUUAAUUUAAUAAUAAUGAAGACAAAAAAUUAAACAGUAUAAAUUAUGGAAAAAGAGAGAGAAAAGAAUCUGGCAGUAUAGUGGGGGCAAACAGAACCACGUCCACACAAAUAUCUACGAGUAUAAGACAAAAUCUCCAGCUUCAAAAUACAAGGAUUCAAGAUUCCUCUAUCAAAAUUGAAAUUUCAAUAUGUAAUAAGAAAUAAUAUAAUUUUUUUUUUUAGAAAUAUGUAUAUUUUUCUGUAGUUGCAUCCGUACCGUACACGUGGAGAAAAGGGUAGCCAGAUGAAGUGGAAGAAAGGCAUACCUCCUGGCAGGGAGAAGACCGACGGUGGGGGCAUACGAGUUGAACUUGGCCGACCGGACGGCGUCAGCGAUGGCGUCUUCGGCCACCGGAGUAGUCCGGAAACAGGGAAACGCCGAUGGAUCGCCGUGGCCAAGAGGAAUAACAGGCCUGUUAUCUUCUUCACUGAGAUUUGACAUAACUUUGCCUAGAACUCCUCUUAUGGUGACGGCGGCUGCCAUAUUCAGCUCUUGGUUUCCUUGGAAACCCCAUCUCUUCUUCGAUCCAUUCUCCAUUUCCUCCUUCUUUCUCUUUCUCUUUCUCUUUCUCUUUCUCUUUCUCUUUCUCUGGGGUUGUGUUGUUUGUUUCUCGGAAUUUUAGAGCGAGAAAGAGAGAAUUUACUGCAAGAGACUUCUCCACGUUCUUUCUAUAUAUUAUAUACGAUUGUGGUUUGUUCACGAGGAGCCCGACACGUGAAGCGCACGUGUCAUGGUAAACCUUGUAAAAAGAUUAAAAAUGUCCAAAAAUAAUAUUUCAAAAACAUUAUAUGAAACAUAUAAAGUAAAUUACUUAAUUUUCUAUAUUAUUUUAAAAAAAAAAUUAUAAAUUUAAUAACCUCCUAUAUAUGUAUAUAUUAAUAAAUGAAAAUUAAAUAAAUAAAUAAUUUUUUUUUUACUAAAUUUGUUUUAAUAAAAAUAAAUUAACAUAUAACAACAAAACUUAAAAAAAAAAAGUUGAAGUCAAAACUGUAAGCUUAACCUUAUUUAUUUUUAAAAAUAUUAAAUUUUUAUUCUAACAUUUUUUAUUAUUUAUUUUUUAAAGUGAUAUUAAUAAAUAAUCAAAUCAUAGUUUAUUUUAGAACAUAAUUUUUUUAUUGGUAGUAAGUUAAAUAAUUUUUUUAUUUUUAGUAAUGAUUUAUAUUUUUAAAAAUAACAUUUUUAUUACACAACCUAAUAAAUAUAAAUUGCAUUUAUGGAAAAAAAGUGGCCAUGCUAUCCUUAUUGUUACAAUCUUAUUUAGGUGAGAAUUAGAUGUAAAUAAAUGAUUGCAUUUAAUAUAUAUAUUAUUUUAAAUUAUUUUUUAUCAUAUAAAUAUUUGAAAAAUAAAUAUAUUUUCUUAAUUUCAAAACUUGAAUUAGCCAAAAUGUUAAAAGAGUUUGUUAGGAGAGAAUUUUCUUUGCUUUAUAUAAACUUUUUUGCUUAAUUGAAAGAAAAGUACAGGUUGAUUUUACGUGACAUGUAAUUUUGCCAAUAAGAUUUGAGAGUUCAACCAUAUCAGUCUUUGUCAAGUAUUGGAUGCAGCUUCCUGCUUCCUCAUGCCUAUGUCUAAUUGCUUAUUUAUUUAUUUUAUUAAUUAUUAAAAAAAAUUGAGAAUAAUUCUCAAUUGUUUUCAAAAAUAAAAUUUUAUUUGAAAACUUCAACAUGAAUAGCAUGGUUUUAGAACAAAUUCUCGAGAAACUAUUUUCUAUCAUAGAUUUGUUAACAUGUUUUUUAAAAUAAAAAAUUGUUUUUAAGAAUAGUUUUCAAAUAGGAUUUACUCCUUCCUUUUUCAAGUUAUACUUAUAAUGUUGAGUUUUGGGUCAAAACAGUCUUUUUAUGGGAAAAAAAAUUAAAUUUAACAAUUUUGCCUAAUUUAUGUUAAAAAUGAUCUUUUUAUUGCCAUGUAGCAGUUAUAUCAUUAAAAAAAAUAUUUUAAAAAAAACAUUUAAGAUGAAAGCCAAUACAAUAAGAUCAAAUCCUACGAUGUUAUCCCAUAUUAAUGUAUCAAAAGCAUAAGCUUAUUUGAGCACUCUAAUUUCUUCGAAGUAACAACAUCGAAGGCACGACUCGACCAAUUAAGGUCAAGAGUGCAUCACCGAUAGAAGGGAUGAGAUGACAUGUGUGCACUGCAAGGUGGAUCAGUUGACCUAUCCCAAGUCUCAAUUAUCAAUUGAGGUUUCAAUUAAAAAAUAAAAAUUCAAUUGUUAAUUACGAUUUCAUUUUUUAACUUAAAACCUCACUUACUAAUUGAGGUUUUAUUUUUUGAGAAGGAUGAUAUGACACUCACGUGAUUGAAAAGUGGUGGUAACUCAUCAAACCGGAGAUUUUAAACCAAAAUUCUAUCAUUUGAAACAUUCAAAGAAUUUAUGAUAUAUAUAUAAGUCAUUGUCUUUUGUCUAAGUCUGUAACAUUCUUGAUGUAACAUUCUUGACAAUUUGAAGUAGUGGAGUUGUCUUUUGGGAAAAGGUGGGUGUACCAUUAUUAUUAGGGGGAAUUACAAUGUCUUCCCAUUUAUAAAUAAAGCCAAAGUAUGCUACGUAUGUGAUGUGAUGUAACGCUUUCUUUUUGAACCAAGAUAAACAUAAGAAAUAAAAUAUUGAAACACGAUCUUUUAUAAGUAUGGUGCAUUGGAUGCAUAAACAAAGGUAAGACAAUUCAAUUUGUUUUGUCGAUUCUAGAUAUGUGAAUAACAUAUUGUCUUUUUUUUUUUUCUAAGUCUUUGAGGUUAAAAGCAUUUUCCAUGAUAAUGAAUUAAUGAUAAGGCAUUGGCAAUGGAUAGAUGAAACUCAAUUUAACGGGAGUAGGGAUAUUUGAAUAGAACGGCAAAAUAACUUUGAAAUUGGAAACAUGGUUCCGUUUGAGAAGUAUUUUCAAAAAAAGUCGUGAAAAACAAUUUUUAAAAGUUAUUCUCUAAUGUUCUCCUUAUGGGACGCUCACAAUCGUCUCCUAGUGUUGUCUAGAUCAUAGCAAAAUGACACAAGAGUUAUGUAGUCUAGUAUUUACCAGAUGGACAUAAAUCAAUCGAGUACUAAACAUUCCUACCUGACAAGCAUUAACUACAACAGAUAUUGAACUGUCAUGAUUGGCGUAACCGUUAUCAAGUUAAAAUAUUAGUUUUUUAGGUUCAUCAAAUCAUGACAACAAUUAUGGAUCAACAAUCAUUGACAUUAAAGACAUUAGCGCUCAAUUAAAGGCACCAUUAAAGCACCUAAGAAGGCAUUAAACUUGGACAAGAUUAAAUAACCACUUUUGGACACAAGAAAGGUAUACUGCUACUUUUCCAAGAAAUCUAUAUUGUUCAAGUCUUCACUCUUUGACUUAAGUUUCAAAAGGGUGUGCCCAGACAACCCAUCCAGACAUUCCUUUGUGCAAAUCAAAGUGUCGUCUAAGCUUCGGAGGCUAGUCGGACUCUCCUUGUUGGUUGUGCACCAACACUCUCUUUGUAUUUCUCUCUCAUCUUUAAUUCAUUUCCUUCUCAUCUAUGUUAUCUAAGUUCAUGUUGUUCUCUCUCUUCCUAUAAAGUCCUUGUGACCUCACUAUUAUCGAUUUCUCAAAGUCUUUGCUUCUUCAACUUGGUUUUCCUCCCACCAUUACAGCUUUAUUUGUCUCCUUCUCACUAUCACAACUUCCUUGAUCUUUCUCAUACCACACAACUUUGUUCAUCUCCCUCACAAUCACAUUUUUGUUGGUUUUUUUUUUUUUUUUCUUUUGUUAUAAGAACUUCAUUUUAUCAUAUGACAAAGUCAAACAAAGUGAAACAACUCAUGUUGCAUCAUAAUGUAUCGUAAUUAACUUUUAUUUAGAAAGAACUUAAUUGGGGUUAAGUUUUCAAUUGUAAUAGUCACUUGACCGGGAUAAAAAAAUUCCAACAACAUCAACUAAAAUCUAGGGAUUUGGACAGAAAAAAAAAAAAAUUGUUCAUAUUUCAUCUAUAGUGAAGUUUGGAUAGUAAUUGCAUGAGACUGCAAAACUGGGGGAAAUGAAGUUAGAUCAGAGAUUUAGCCAACAACGGUUUUCAAUCCAAACUGAUCAUCUUUGACAUUGUAGGAAUUCAAAUGAAACUGCCAAAAAUCUUUAACAAAAAACAAAGAGAAAGAUUGGGAAUGUAAAGGAUCUUGGAGAAGAAAGAAGAAUGAGAGAACUUCCCUCUGUAAUUUUUUAAAUGGAUAAGACUCUGAUGUUUCUUUAUCCAUUAAUCUCUAUUCUAGGGUUUGGGCUUCACAAAAAAGGAUCAAUGAAUAAAGAAAGAUUACAGAGAGGAAGAGAGCUAGGUAGCACAAAUGAGAGGAAAAUGGAUUAGAAAGGAGAGGGAAAGAAGUUCUUAGAGAAAUUAAAGAAGCUUAAAUAUCUGGAAACUAAGUCAUUUCCACGAAGAAGAAUAAGCCAAGGAGGUCAUUUUUCCAACUUCAAACCCUGCAAAAUUACCAUUGAAGGCUUAAGGAGAUCAUCCCAACAACAUCAACAAUUUACAUGGGAACUUAGAUGGAGAAUAAGAUCUAAGGUGCAGUAUUUGAACAAUAUGAGUCAUGACCCCUUCUUUUUUGUCUCUUGAUGACAAUUUUUAAGUCUUACUGCUUCUUGGCAUGCCUCUGACAGAAGGCUUUGAUCCUGCCAAUCCCAUCUUCAAGGAAUGGAGGCUCAGUGGCAAAAGUUAUACGAAGCCAAUUCUUCAUUCCCACAGCAAAACCUGCAACAAAGCCCACAAAUUACUCCACCAUCCUUCAAUCUGUAAGCAAAGUGUAUCAUAUUUUGCAUACCAUUUAUUCCUUUUUUUCAUAUUCUCAAUUUGUUAACCCAACUUCAAAGACUCAGAUUCUUUGCUUCUUACCGGCCAAAAUAAUCACUGAUUCCUCUUUAGACAGCUUCAUACAGAAAUCCAUAUCAUCAUCUAUGUCUUCCAGUAGAGACACAUUUAGUUUCACCUGCAGUGGUACUAUAAUUGAAAAUUUCUUCAACUCCAUAUUUUAAUUUGAAGCAACUCAUAAUAUCUCAUAUAUUCUUCCCUUACCAUUACAGACAUGGCUCCUUCUGGUUUGUGUGGGCAAGUAAUGCAGGGGAUAUCUGCAAGUCCAUCAAAGCAUAUGUCUGCAGUUUUUCCGAGUAAGCUAAUAAUUCUCGAGAAGAAAUCAUCUGUCGUUUUCUCAAUGAUUUGAGGAACAGCCCCCUGAUAAAAAAAAACCACAUGAUUAAUUAACUAAUGUGCUUGGUCUCCCUGGUUAGACCCUAGGGUGUUUACCAUACUGAAGAGCAUAGAUAACAACAGAAUUUAUAUACUUUCAUCAGAAAAAUGUAUGUUGAAUCACAAACCUGGAUGAAGCUUGUAGGGUCAGCACAAAUAUUGAGAUAACUCACAAUGGUUUCCACAAUCUGAGAAGACAGACAAAAAAGAUGUUAAGUUUUAGUUUGAGUACUGCAGGAAAAUCAGAUCAAAAAUAUAAAGAUCAGAUGCUAUUUACAAUUUUUCUUGAAUGUCCUGCAUUUAAUUGCAGUAUAUGAAAUGGGGUUGCUCCAUGGCACUAUGUAACAAGAACAAAUUUGAAGUUUUGAGAGAGAGCAGUAAAUUAGGGUGGUCAGGGAAGAGAGGGAGGACCCCGGAUUUGCAGAGGAUGCCAUUAGGAUCAUUGGUCACGAGCCAGCCAAGUCUCCAACCAGGAACAAUCCAUCUUUUUGAUAUGGAUCCAAGUGUUAUAACAGGCGUGAUCGACCCAAAUACUCCCAUUGGCACAAAAGGAUUACUCCCAAAAACAAGGUGGCCAUAUACUUCAUCAGCAAUCACAAGAAUUCCGAGCAUUCUUGCAGUUUCCGCCACCUGCAAAAUCCCUAGCUGGAACAUCAUUUUCCAUUACAAAUUAAUUAUAAAACCAUGUUCCUAGAAGAUAGCUUAGCCUAGCCUACCUUCUUCAGAUGCUGGUGUGUAAAGACAUUGCCACAGGGAUUGCCGGGGUUGAUGAUAACCAUAGCAACAGUGUUCUCAUCUGCAAGAGCUUUGACUCCCUCCAGAUCAACCUCCCAAACCUUCUCGGGAAGAAGAUCAAACCGACGGAAUUCCAGAUGGUUAGCUGCAGCAAGAGCUUCAUAGAACGCAUAACCAGGUCUUGGGAGAAGAAUGUUGGCACCAGGGCGAGCAAGGACCUUUAUUAUGAGUUCAAUUGCUUGUCCACAUCCAACUGUGAGAUAAACAUCAUCUGGGGAUAGCUUGUAUGGAAGAUCAGUAGAGAGAUAUUCCGCUAUAGCCCUUUUAAUAAAAUGGAAGUAUAAGCCUCGGGUUGAAUUGAUUAAUCUGAAAAUUUUGCUAAAGGAAAAUGACAGUCUUUUCUGGGACUGUCCAGAAAACUUGGAGCAUUUUGCAGCCAAAAACAACUAUUGCUGUUCUUAAAAAGGGAGAAGGAAUGGAACUAAACGGGAAUAGAACUAAAAGGGCAUAGAAAAUAUAUCAUAUACUUCAAAAAUGGUUUGAAAUCAUUUCCAAUCUCUCCGAUCAAAGGGGAUGCAGCAAGAGAGGCCAAGACCCUACCUCCUCGCUGGAAGAACGCCGACGUCGGGGGGAUAGGAGUCGAAUUCCCGUGACCGCACGGCGUCGACAAUGGCCUCUUCGGCCUCCGGAGCGGUCCGGAAGCAGGAAAAGGCAGAUGGGUCACCUUGGCCGAGAGUAAUAACAGGUCUGCGAUCUUGUGGAUUGAGAUUAGAUAUAACUUUUCUCAGAACUCCCCUUACGGUGAUGGAGGCUGCUUUGUCCAAUACUUGGUUUCCCCGGAAACCCCAUCUCUCCGCUGCUCCAUUCUCCAUCCUCUUCCUUUCUUCCUCCAGAUUUGAGUUGUACUGUGGUGGGGAUUUUAGUGGGAGAGAGAUUUUUUUGUGGGAAAUGUGGUGUGGUGGAGUGGAGCCGAACCAGUUUUCUUUGUGGCCUGUCUGCUUGCCCUCGAGUCCUCGACAAAACGACAAUCGCAACAAUUUGGAAAUGUAAAUUGAUGAUUCUGAAGUUGGUGCGUGACCAAUGACGAUCAAGUAGCAGCUUGGAGAAAUGCACAGGGACGGAAUGUGAGGGUUUAACCCAACUCAAUCCUUAAACUCGAGGCUCUUAGUCCAAGGUCGGUUUCAUCGUAGUUGAAUUCGAGUUGGUGGGGUUAAAUUGAAUUAAAAUUAUUUUAAUUUUUUAUGUGUUUAUAUAAAAAUUUGGGAAAGUUGUGUUUUGCCCACCAAUUUGGACUUAAUAGCUUUUUAGGAACCCAACUCUCCGUAAUCCAAAAUAUGUCCACUGUUGGCCAAAAAAAUAUCAUUUCUAUGCACUCUCCACUGCUUAUAAUUUCAUUUCCAGAAUUACCCCUUCAGCCUCCCAUGUCAGCAGCCAUCUUCCUCUCCAUGUCACUACGGGAAGUUAUGCUUUUAGCCUCCCAUGUCAGCAGCCAUCUUCCUCUCCAUGUCACCACGGGAAGUUAUGUUUUUAAGCACCCAUGGUUAUCAUACCUGUACGAGCCUAUAUCAUCUUGAACAACCUCAAGAUUUCUUGGUGGAGAAGACUACAUGCUGCAAGUGCCCUCGUAUGCUUGGAUUUGGGUGUCUUGGUGAGAGGGAAAGAACCCUGGUUGAUUCUUGAUUGAAAUGGGUAAUAUCUAGGGAAAGUGAUCUUCAAUGGCGGGUUCACCCCUUAACACGCCUGCACAAUGCAUUGGAAGGUGUGUUGGUUUUGUUGGUGAAAUCUAUCUUUUCUCCCCCCUUCUUGAGUUGUACUGCAAUUAUAAAUUGGGAAAAACUAACAAAGAGAGAUUCUAAGAUGCUCAACCAUAAGGGACCCUAGGUACUACCUUAAGGUAACCUUUUCUAAGCCUCGGGUCUUCCUUUGUGACCCUUACACCAUCCCAUCAUGUGGUUCUCUUCAGUGUUGAAAUGAUCCACCAAUGGUUUCUCGGGACUGUAACUUAGGUACUACCUUAAGAGCCCUUAGAUACUACCUUAGUAGCCUUGAGGUACUACCUUAAGGAACCCUAGGUACUACCUUAAGUUAAACUUGAACUCAACCUCUCACAAGCAUCGGGUCUUCCUUGGUGAUCCUUAGACCAUCCAAUUAUGUGGUUCUCUUCAUCCCUCAAAUGCUCCACCAAUGGUUUCUUGGGACUGUAGCUUAGGUACUACCUUAAGGGCCCUUAGGUACUACCUUAGUGGCCUUAAGGUACUACCUUAAGGGACCCUAGGUACUACCUUAAGUUAAACUUCAACUCAACCUCUCCAAAGCCUCGGGUCUUCCUUGGUGACCCUUAGACCAUCCAAUUAUGUGGUUCUCUUCAUUCUCCAAGUGGUCCACCAAUGGUUUCUUGGGACUGUAGCUUAGGUACUACCUUAAGGGCCCUUAGGUACUACCUUAGUGGCCUUGAGGUACUUCCUUAAGGGACCCUAGGUACUACCUUAAGGUAAACUUGAACUCAACCUCUCCCAAGGAUCAGGUCUUCCUUGGUGAUCCUUAGACCAUCCAAUUAUGUGGUUAUCUUCAUCCCUCAAGUGGUCCACCAAUGGUUUCUUGGUAUUGUAGCUUAGGUACUACCUUAAGGGCCCUUAGGUACUACCCUAGUGGCCUUUAGGUACUACCUUAAAGGACCCUAGGUACUAGCUUAAGGUAAACUUGAACUCAACCUCUCCCAAGCAUCGGGUCUUCCUUGGUGACCCUUAGACCAUCCAAUUAUGUGGUUCUCUUCAUCCCUCAAGUGCUCCACCAAUGGUUUCUUGGUUUUGUAGCUUAGGUACUACCUUAAGGGCCCUUAGGUACUACCUUAGUGGCCUUGAGGUACUACCUUAAGGGACCCUAGGUACUACCUUAAGCUAAACUUCAACUCAUAUUUAGUUGGACAACAUAUUUUUCAUAUUUCAAUUUGUUUUAAGCAUCAAUUGUCAUUUUUGGGUUUGUAUAAAUUAAAUUAGACAAAGCCUUAUGUGGUUUGGUUUUCCUUGUGCAUAUCAUUAAUUCUUUUACCAUUAAUGUUGGAUGUUGCUUCAAUGUGGCUAAUAAAAUCAUAGAUGAUAAUGUUUUCUACUAUUUUUAAUUUUGUUUGUUCAAUUAUAUUAAAUUGUAACUACUUGUCUCUUAUCCUGCUGUCUAAAAGAGAGAUGGACAGUACCAGGUUGAUUCUAAUGCCACUCCUACCAUGCUAAAUUGCCUCAUGUACAAACUGUCAUAUUUCAGGUCAGCUUUUGCUUUGGACUUGGUUCUUCAUAUGUAAAGGUUAUGCUUGGGUUAGUCUUUGAUACAUGAUUAUUUGUGUCUGUUUUCUUUUAGAUUUGUGGAGACAGAUGGUAAAGGCUUUCAUCGACUAAGGCGGACUGAAAUUGGGAAUAAAUAUUUCAAACUCACCCAUUUCAAGGAGGUUAGAUAAUCUAAAUCCCCAAUUUCGCAUUAGUGCAUAAAAAUGGAGUCUGCCACAAGAUCUUGAAGCCUAUCAGGCUGUCACAACUUAUUUGAGAGUUAAAACUUUGAACACUUGUCAUAUACUCAUAAUAUGGUGGUGCCUUGGGAUGUAGUUCGGAGAUAGUUCAGGUUUCAUGUUUGAGCCUCUUUGAAAUUUAAGUGUGGGAUAGAGGAAGAAUGGUCCAUAUCACCUGAGAUUUGUUUUGCCAGGUGAUACAUGUCUUACUGUUAGGGUGGAUUCCCCAUGAUCAGGAAAAGAGGGGAAAAAAAAUUAACAAAAUUGUUAAAUGUGGUGCUUAUUAUUGUAAUGUGAGUUAAGAGAAUGUUGACUUCUUAGUGUUAGUGUUGGACGCCCCAUCCAAAUGGCAUGUAUUUAAACUUGCCACACAGAACUCCUAAAGACAUCUCUUUUGACGUACACCAACCCUUAUGAGAUUGGGAAUUUUCUAUUGAAUAAUUUUCUCUAUAAAGUCCCAUGUCUGUUCUGAUUAACUUUCCAUGGUUUAGUUAUGAUUAACUGUCCAUGGUUUAUAAUCAAUGACCAUAAUUCGCUACUCAAUAUUGGAUGGUUUGGAUAUACAAAUUAAACCUCCGAAUAACAGGAUCCGUGUAAAAACCAAAGAAAUCAAAAUCGGUAUGCAUGAUAAACACCUGUACAUUGCAUUUGUUUAUGAUUCGGUGCAAAAUUACCCACUGACCUUUUGUUGUCUCCUCCCUUUGUAGAUAGCAAGCUCCACAACCAGCUCAAAAAAGAAAUAAGUAUCCCUGCCAAUGAAGGGCACCUCCAGAAGAUGUUGUCUCCAAUUAGUGACUUGUAACCCACAUAUUUAAUAUGCUUGAGCCUCUAGAGAGCUAGUGCACCAGCAUUAAUAGCCAUUUCUCUUAUAGAAAAGCAAACGUAUCAAUCAAAGAUACAAAAUUGUCUAUACAACAUUCAGAUGCAAAAUUGUCUUCUUACCCUUCCAGAAAGCCUAUAUCAACCAAUCAUUGAAAACUUGGACAUAGAAAUGCCAAAAGUACAUAAACAGAAUGCCACCUUAUGAAUCUCCACAGUCAAAUUAUCAACCCUUUCUCAUGGCAUUCAACAUUGUUUUCAGAUUUUCUCACUUUCUUUCAAGGAGUAUAUAUUAAAAAAACAUAAAAACAAAAACAUAAGUUAUAUAUGCAACAAAAGGACUUUCCCCAAUUACACGAACAUUUGUGAAUAAGAUUGAUUAGACAGAGUUUCUUGAGCAUGCAGAUACCAUUACUGUAUAUAUUACAGUCCUCAAGCUUCCUCUAUAUUUAAUGGGAUGUGUCUUAAGAUAUAAAGGGAACUAAAGGCAUACUGCUUAACUACCCUUAUCCAAAUAACAAAAUAAACCAAGGAGCCUAUUGUGAUGUCUUCAUCUUUGAUAUCUCGUCCAACAAGAAUCUGGAUUCAGCUUCAAAAUCAUCUUGCACAACAGCCCUGGCUGUGAUCCAUUGCCUUUUCUCAUUCUUGUAUUCAUGCUGUGCAACAAUAAUCUGGAAAAGAUUAGGGACCCAAAUAGCGUCCUUCAUUUUAUGUUGGAAUCGUUUUUCCUCUCCCUCCUGCGGAGAAAAUUGGGUUUUUAAAACAUCAGAUUUUGAAUGCUAGAAGUUCAUCCUUUUUUUGUUUCAUAGAACGCAACUACGCUACCAAAUAAGUAACCAACUACAUAUGAAUUAAUGCAUCACUGAGCAACUCUUUCAAGUUAACUAACAUUUUGGACAAACACAUAGAUAUUUCAAUACUGUCAAGAGUUUACCUGUGGUUUCAGCUUAUCAAGCUCAUCAGCAGAGCACCCAAAUAUUCUCUCUGCUUGUUCAUUGAACAGAGAAAGGAUAGCUUCACCACUAUCAUCUGAAACUUUCACUACCAUUAUGUACCUGGAAAACAAAACAGAAUGGAACAAAGAAACAUCAUUCAUAGGACAACACACACCUAUUUUAACUACUAUUGCUGGAUUCUUAUUUAAUCAAAUUCCAUGAAUCCCUCACCUUCAACUGCAGUCAUCAUCAUUCUUUUCCUCUCCUUCCCACCAAUACCCAGAUUCAAUAGCAUCUGUCACUUUCUUGUUGCAUGUCUGACAAGCCCGAUACAGUAAUACUCAUACAAUUGUGAUUAUUGAAAAUCCCACAUGUUCACAUAAAUGUAGGAUUUACACCUCAGACUUAGGUUGGAUAUUUGAGACUCAGUUUGGUCAGCUAACCUUUUGUUUAAACCCCUCUAAACUUGGAACUUCUAGACCCAAUAUGUCCUGACAGUAUACUUGAUGUUCUUGAUAAUUCGUCAUGUUCAGAUAAUUUUGUUACUCUUUUGAUAAAACAAAAAUUUUAAAGAUGGUUAAGACUCAAAAUUUGAUUUUGAAAGCCUGAGAAUUGAGAACCCCUUAGCUUUAGAAAAGAUUCCUCCAUUGGUGUUUUUCAUUUUAAGACCAUGCCCUCUUAAUAUUUCUCUUCCUUAACCAAUGGGCUCUUUCUCAGUUGCUUUAAGUGUUGUGAGGCCAGUGAGAGUUCUUGGUUCAGAAAAUGGACCCUGUAAUCUCUCUCUCUCAAUGGUUGUAGUUAUGGUUAAGCUUCUUGAUAUGGAUCAUCUUAUUGGUAGGAAUUGGACAAAUGCCUAACAUGGUGUGUUGUGAAAGGCAAGCCCAAGGUUGGUGUUUGUCUUGAUUACUUCCUUUUACAAAAUCCUUGACUCUUUGCAUUUGAAGGAUUCAAACAAAAGGAGGAAGAAGUUCUUAGGGAUAAUACCAGGUGCCCCUUUUGAUCUAGUUAAGAGGAGAGGAGAGGCAGUGGUGAGUAUAAAGGUUGUUUCUUUUGAAGGAUUUUAAGGCAGUUCGUUUCCUUUUGUUGUAUUUCCUUAUCCUGAUAUUUUGGUGAAUUUUUCUAUUAAUAAGUUAUCUCUAUUAAUAGCAAAGUAAUGUCUACAGUAGAUUCAUGGUAUUGCUGAUAAGAAAGUGUGAGAUGGUAUAAUUUGAAGGCUGGAAGCAUGUGGAAAGCUGUUACUGAGUGAGGAUGCAUUCAUGCAUGGAUACACAAAAAUAUCAUGUACCACAAGGACUAGUCCACUGACCAGAAUGGUGGACAGCUUGAUUUAUGUUGAAAGGGGUAAAUGAACAAGAGGAAGACAAGCAAAAACGUGAAUUGAGGUGGUGAAAAGAAAGGAUGUGAAUAUAAGUGUUCAACUAAAGGAAUGAUCCUGUAGAUAGCAGGAUGGUCAAGAAGGAUUUGAUGCCAGUGAUCCUAACAAGUUGGGAUGGGUUGAGUUGAUAUACCAACUAUCAACCAAAUAUGAGUUUCAUAUACUAUUUAUGACAUAUUGAUAUUUGUUUUCCUAAGCCCAACUAGGUGGGAUACUGCUAUACUUGGUUAAUUUAUGGAUUUAGAACCACUUGAAGGGUUAGCAUCCCCAUUUACCGUGAUUUGACAAAGGUUUAGAAUAAUUUAAAUUGCUGUAUUCGUAUACAUUAGACUGGUAGCAGGGAAAACAAAUAGAUCAGUAGGCCUUCUAGUAAUCGAGGCCUAUGAUUUCAUUCUUACUGGUACAUUGAUGACCUCAUGUCCAGCCCUGUGCCUUUUGUUCUUAUACAUGCAUCAUGAGGAUAGACUGAAAGACUCUGAACAAUAUCUGAUCUAGCCGUAUACAUGUAUAUAGUAACCCUGAACUGAGACCCAUUAUUUUGUUCUUACAUCUGUAUGGUGUGGACACCAGAUCUAAAUCAAUAUAUGUAUACUACAUAGGCACAGUGAGGACACUUGAUCUACGUCAGAAUAUGUAUACUAUGUAAAUACUCUAAUCAACUCAAAGAGGAAAAAAUAAUACCCAACCUGAAAAACUGCCUUGGUCAACCUUUUGACUUCUGCUAUAUCCACUGUGUUCUUCCUUUGCAUUCUAUGUUGGGCAUGCCCUUGCUGGUCUGGGACAGACCUGUGCGAAAGGAGACAACAUAAACAUGGCACGGGCAGAAUUGAAGAGCAAAAAUUAAUAGGAUAAAAGAAUUAUAGCUCCUGACCUAUGAUCUGGGUAUAUUUGAUUGUAGUUCAAUCAUUUGAAAAAAAACAAAUGGCUUAUAAUUUAACUCAUUGAAGAUUUUUUUUUUCAUGAUCCUUCCAGAUACAGUAAACAUUAUAGCUCAUUCCCAAAUUGUAAUGGAGAAAUAAUUUAUUUUCUUCAUAUAUGUUUUUUUUUUCCUUUUUAUUCCAUUUUCCAGGUAAUUGGAUCUAUCACUGGGGUUAGGCUCCUCAUUGACACCUUUCCUGAAGUGGGAUUUGGGCCACGUUUGAUUGUUGACAUCCAUCAUGGUGCACUGACAGAAGGGUUUCUGACAUUUUCAAUUGUUAUGAUCUCGGUGACUAAAUCUUUUUGGCCUUAUGUAGGUAAUGGGAUGGGCUUAUGCUCGCGGGGAUCAUAUAACCAAGGAGCAUAUACUUGUUUACUGGCUUGCCCCAAUGGAGGCACUCUACUGGCAGUCUGGACAUUCCGGUUGCUGGUUCAGCCACACAAGGAGGAGAAAGAAAAAAUGAAGGCUAAUUGUCAAUGUUCAUUUGUCAAGGUUGAGUAGGUCUUGGUUGAGCUGUGCAGUUGGUUUUUAGGAACAUUUAGAUGGUUAUGCUUUUAGACUCUGGUUACCUCCUUUUAGUUUGAUCCAAGGCCCAUAGCCCAAUCCGAAUGAUUGAUAUGUUUGCAAAAAACAACAAAAGGCAGAGCUCCGUCAAGCCUGCAGAAUCUGAGUGGUUGGGAGUGGGAUGGGACUUGGGAGACACCCAUCUAAUAUAUAGGGAAAGUUGUGUUUUUUCCCUCCCCCUGUUUUAUGGAUCUGUUCUAGGGGCCAUUAAAAUUAAAUUUCGCAAACCCUAAACCCACGAUUUUUGAGUUAGGCUGAAAAAUACCAUUUUUGCCUGCAAAUCGUGAUCAGAUUACCAAAUAGCAUCUUAUUGUGCCAUUGGAUUUAAAUUUCGCAAACCCUAAACCCACAAAUUUUUACCCAGGCUGAAAAAUACCACCUUUACCUGCAAAUCGUGAUCAGAUUACCAAAUAGCAUCUUAUUGUGCCAUUGGAUUUAAAUUUCGUAAACCCUAAACCCACGAUUUUUUAGCCAGGCUGAAAAAUACCACCUUUGCCUGCAAAUCGUGAUCAGAUUACCAAAUAGCAUCUUAUUGUGCCAUUGGAUUUAAAUUUCGCAAACCCUAAACCCACGAUUUUUUAGCCACCCUCAAAAAUACCACAUUUGCCUGCAAAUCGUGAUCAGAUUACCAAAUAGCAUCUUUUUUAAAAAUAAAAAAUAAAAAUGUUUAGAGAGCUCGUGAACAAUGCAAAACAACCUUCAUCCCAAAUCUUUUCUCAACAGCCACACAAAGCCUUAAAUGGAAAACUCACCUGCGAUUACUCCAAAAGGAAGACCAAGCUCCACCGCGGUUUCCAGAAACGAUCCAUGAAAUUGCAGAUCACGUUAGGGCAAAAGGAGAGAGAGUCACGGAGUUCCCAAAUUUCAGAGUUUAUAGGUCGGGUGUUGCGUGGGUUUUCCUAAUUUCCUAACUGGGGUAAUUUCGGAAAUGAAAUUAUAAAACAGUGGAUAGCGCAUGAAAAGGAUAAUUAUUUUGCAACAGUGGACAUAUUUUGGAUUACGAAGAGUUGGGUUCCUAAAAAGCUAUUAAGUCCAAAUUGGUAGGCCAAAACACAACUUUCCCUAAAAAUUUAAAUAAUAAAUAAGAUAAAAUUUUAAUACAAUAAAAAAAUAAAAAUAAAUUUAUAUAUAUUUAAAAAAAAAUCAAAUAAACAUAUAAUAUAAUAUAAUUUUAUAUUUUAUCUUUAAAAAAUUUUAAAAAAUAAAUAUUAUUAUAUAUGAUAAUAUAUAUUACAAUUAUUAUAAAAACAUUAAAUCUGAUCGAGAUUUGUUAAUAUAGAUUAUAAUCCCGUUACAACUUUUUUGGAAAAAGGCCAUAGCAUCAUUUUCUUGGUCUCAAAGGGUGAAAUGUGUGAUAAGGAAAAAUCCUAAGAUUCACAAUUUAUAAAUUUUUUAUAUAAUUAAAUAUUGAAUAUAAUCUUAGAAGAAAAGAAAAUAUUCAAGGAAUUCUUUUCUUUAAUUCUUAAGUUAGAUUUUUUCACUUAUUCAACCUAAUAGCAAAAUUCUAAUAUUUCUUAGCCUUAAUUAGUUACUUCAACCAUAUUUUCAUGCUUAUAUUUUAGUAUAUGCAAAAAUGAGGAGAAAAAAUAACAACAAAUAAAAAGUAUGUGAAGCACUUUUCCUUAAUAUGUGUUUAAUUAUAAAAUUCUUAUGCCUUUUUUAUUUUUUCACUUUAAAUAAUAAUUUUAACUAUGUUUGGUUUCGAAAAUUUUGAGGGAAAAUGUAAGAGAGAGAAAAUUGAUGGGAAAAGUAGAAGGAAAGAAAAAAAAUUAAAAUUAAUAAAUUAUUUUUAUUUGCUACUUCAAACUUAUUUAACUUAUUUUAACUCAUCAAUAUAAAUAUUAAAUAAUUUGAAAAUGUGUAAGUUACUUUAAGACAACUAAAUAUGGAAAAAUCAUUUUCCUUAAUUUUUUUUCCCCUUUUGUUAGUACUUUUUAGUUAUGUUUGGUUGUCGAAAAAUUUGAGGGAAAGAAAAUAUAAAGGAAAAGUACAAGAAGAGAAAAAAUAAAGGAAAAUGCAAAAUAAAUUAAAAGUCCAUAAAUUAUUUUUAUUUUCUACUUCAAAACUUGUUUUACUUAUUUUAACUCAUCGAUAUAAAUAUUAAAUAAUUUAAAAAUACAUAAGUUUCUAAUUAGUUUUAAUUAUAUUUGAUUUUCUUUUAUAUUUUUCAUANNNNNNNNNNNNNNNNNNNNNNNNNNNNNNNNNNNNNNNNNNNNNNNNNNNNNNNNNNNNNNNNNNNNNNNNNNNNNNNNNNNNNNNNNNNNNNNNNNNNAAUCAACCAAACCAAAAAUAAGAAAAUUAUUUUCUUUUUUUGUAUUUUAUUUUAUUUCUAGGAAUCAAAUAUUAGUGUUUUUUGGGAAAAUGAGAAUGAAAGAAAAUAGAGGGAAAAAACAUAAGAAAAAAAAAUAAGAAAAAUUAAAAAUAGGUUUAAAUUUAAUAAAUUAUUUUUAUAUAUUUCUUCAAACUCAUUUUACUUAUUUUUCUUUAUUAUAACAAAAUUAAGUAAUUUAAAAAUAUUUAAAUUUCAAAUUAAUUUUAAUUAUAUUUAACUUUCUAUAGUGAAACCAAACACAAGAAAAUUAUUUUACUUAAAUUUUUUUUUCUUUCCCUAAUAUUUUUUUCAUAAGAUAUAUAAUUUUAUUAUUUUUAAUAUAAAACAAGCUCCACUCUUUUACAUUUUCUCAUUUUUUUUUUUUUUUUGUCUUUUUGUUUUCAGCGUUUACCAUGGGGAAAGUUAUGCUUUGGGCUUCCCAUCCUAACAUAAUAGCAUUUUCAAAACCCAACAAUGGGAAAUAUGAUAAUCAACUUUUAAUAUGAAAAAUUUUAUCAUUUUUGUGCACUCUAAGCUAGCUCCAUCUUCUGUACCCAAAUUGCUCCUCUGUUUCUCCAGCUCAGCAUCCUCAGCAUCAUCACAACCUCCAUAUCACCCUCUCUCAUUUGGAAGUUUUCUCUAAUUUUUCUUCACUCCCGAAAACCCAAAAUCUCUCAUUUCAUUUUAGAAACUCAAAUCCAAAACUCUAAGACGAUGUUAAAAUGUGCCUUUCAGCUUGUCUAAGAGUCAUGGGAGUCUAAGAGAAUUCAGGAAAAAUGAAAUAGAGCUCGGGUGGAGAGAGUGGGUACCCAAAAAUUGAAACCCUAACCUUCAAAUGUGUCUUAGACUCACAAAUCUGUGUCCAAGAUAGCUAUAUUAGCAAUAAAUAACACCAAACAUCUUUCCUAGAUCAUUAAAUCGGCUAAGCCCUUGAAGAACCAAAGGAAAUGGUGCAGAAAAUGAAACACAAAAGACUCUUAAAGUAUUGGGUCCCGACGAACCGGCCGACUNNNNNNNNNNNNNNNNNNNNNNNNNNNNNNNNNNNNNNNNNNNNNNNNNNNNNNNNNNNNNNNNNNNNNNNNNNNNNNNNNNNNNNNNNNNNNNNNNNNNUAAGAGUCUUCCAUGCUUCAUUUUCUGUACCAUUUUCUCUAGUUCUUCAAGGGCUUCGUCAAUUUAAUGGUUUAGGAGAGAUGUUUGGUGCUAUUUCUUGUUAAUAGGGUUAUCUUGGACACAGAUUUACAAGUGUAGGACACAUUUGGAGGUUAGGGUUUCGGUCUUUGGGUACCCACUCUCUCCACCCAAGCUCUAUUUCGUUUUUCCCGGAUUCUCUUGGACUCCCAUGGCUCCUAGACGAGCCGAAAGACGCAUUUUGACAUUGUCUUGGAGUUUUGGAUUUGAGUUUCUGAAUUGAAAUGAGAGAUUUUGGGUUUUCGGGAGUGAAGAAAGAUGAGAGAAAGCUUCCAAAUGAGAGAGAGUGAUAUUGAGGUUAGGAUGAUGCUGAGUUGGAGAAACGGGGGGAGCAAUUUGGGCAUAGAAGAUGGAGCCAACUCAGAGUGCACAAAAAUGAUAAAACUUUUCAUGUUAAAAGUUGAUUAUCAUAUUUCCCAUUGUUGGGUUUUGAAAAUGCUAUUAUGUUGGGAUAUGAAGCCCAAAAACACAACUUUCUCAUUAAUGGAAAAAGAUGCUUGCAAGGCAAGCAAUCAAAGGGACAAAAUCAAGUCAAUUUUCAAUAUUAAUAGAAUUAAAGUUGACAAAUUUUCAAAGCAAACAAUCUUAUAAGGUAGGAAAUUAAGGUGUGGUUUGACCACUUAUUUGAAUAAGUUACUUUUAAAAAUAUUUUUUCUAUUUUUAUUUUGUAAAAACAUUAUAAAAUUAAUUUAUAUAAUAUUAAUUAAAUUUAAUUCAAACGGUAUUGAAAAUGAAAAUAUUUUUGUAAUUAUAAAUAAAUUAAAAAAUAAAUAGUUUUUAGUAAAACAUGAAUAGUAACAUUAUAAUAAAAUUAUAAAUUACAUUUUUUUAUAAUAAAAAAUUUACUGUUUAGUAUAUGUUAGAAAUAUAAAAAUAUUAACAUUUUUGGAAUGAAAAAUAAUUAUUAUUAAUAAUAUUUUAUUUAAAAUGAAUAACAAAUUAAAUUUAACUUUUUUUUACAUGUAAAUUCAAGUUUUUUAUUACAUGUGCUCAUUUAUUACUCAACUAGGAAUAUAAUAUUUUAAAAUAUUUUAAUUUAAUAUUACUAAUUGGAUUGAUUUUUUGUUCCAAAUUAUUCUUAAAAAUUAAAAUAUUUAUUAAAUAAAUUAAAUUAUUAAUUAUGUCUUAUUUAAUUUAUAAUCUAUUUCUAUAAUGAUUUUUUUUAUUUAAAAAUAUAGUUAUAUGUUUAGAAGAAAUAAUAUAUCAGUUUUGAUUUAUUAUUUUUUUAGUGAUUAGGUUUAUUUUUAAAAUUUUAAAUUAAUUUUUAAAAAUUUUAAAAUUCAAUAAUAAAUUCAACAAAAAGCUUGAGAAGAGGGGAUAACAGAAUAAGGAAAAAAAGGAGAGAGAGAAGGAGUAGGUAAAAUGAGAAGCUCGUGGGAUCUUGUUUGGGUUGGAGGAAGAAGAAGAGAGUGCUAGAAGCCCAGCCCAUACUGCUAGAGGAGAAGUGUUACUGGGUAUGGUUAUUGGAAAAUUUUUAUAUGUGCUAACAUUAAUUGAAUAAUUUAAAUUUGCAAAAAAAAAAAAAAAAAAAAAACGGCUUAAUAGAUAGUCUAUGAUAUAAUGAGCUCAAUUAACUAGUGAUCAUAUUUGGAUUAGGUUUUGCAUCUUUUGAAUAAAAGCUCAGUUGAGUGGCAAGUAUAGGUUAUGGGUCUCAUUGAAGCCCAUUAUGGGAGGGCCCAAUAAGAACUCAAUAUUGAGUUAUGUUAAGUCCCCUCUCUAAUCUAGAUAAAAUGAUGUUUUUUGUUUUCCCGUAGAAUCAUCAUAGCUGUUAUCAAGAUCAUAGAGAGGAAGACUUAGUUGCAACAGUCAAUCACUUUUUUUUUUUUUUGUGAUGGCUCAAAUAGGUAUGUUUUUUAUAGUAAUUUUCUAUUGUUAGUUUCCUUUAAUCAUGUAUGAUUAAUUUAUGUGAUUAUAUAAAUAUCUUACAAUGGUUACUACGGAUCAUAGUUCUUUUCAUUAAUAAUCUAUUCUUCGUCAUUUUUUUGGAUGUUUCUAGGCAUUUGUUGUUGUUUGGGAGUAGAUGAAAGAAGCUUCAUAUUAUCCUGCAGAUUCAGAAUUUGAUUGAAAACUUGAUAUUGCUUUAUUUUCCUGUUCUGUUGGACUUAACUUUGAGACUGAAUCUGAAUAUACACUGACGUUUGCUACUUGGUAUUUGAAGAUCACACUUUAAUUCUUGUUUAAAAUUCAUCCUAGCAUGUUCAGUUGUUUCAAGCCCAUUGACAAAUAAUGAAAUGUGGCUUGUUUGGCUACCCACUCCUUGUUUGCCUCUUCUCUGUUUCUCUUGUGUUUCAUUUCUAUGCUUCUGUAUCUAUAUCUCUUCCCUUUUCAUUAUUUGGUGCCCUGGGCUAUGGAGGUCAUAGUAGGAUGAGUAUUUCAAGAGAAGUGGGAACUUUGUGAAGACUGUGUACAAUAAGGAUUGCUUGUGGUCUCGUCAGAUGCAGAGACUUUUUUUUUUUUUUUUUUUUUGUUUCUGGGGGGCUCUCUGUUUGUGGUAUGCUGGGUUGGUAUUCAUCAGUUGCAUUCUCAUCUGGGAGAGACGGGGAGAGUUGGGUAGUGGUGGAGAGGGUGAGAGGAUGAAGAUCGAUCUUGAGAGAGUUGGGUUGCUGAGUAAAAACAUCCAAGAUUGAAAAUGAUGAUCUGUAUAUUGAACUAUUGCGUGGAUUCAAGCCUUCGGUGAUGAAAUUCCCACGUACAGAAGUAUUCUUUCCAAUGACCGCUGUUUCUAUAUUGGAACCCCAGAAGAAAGGCUAUUUCCUUUGUGCAGAAACUCCUGAUGCAGCCAGAGCUUGGGUAUUUACUUUGCAUGCAACAUAGUUGGUUCUCAAGGCACCCUUCAAUCCGAAGGACAGCAGAGAAAAGAUGACUCAGAUCACGUUUGAGACCUCUAGUGUGCAUGCCAAGUCCCAGUCCCAUGCACGAGUCAUAUUCCACCUUGGGUACAUACAUGAGCAUCAAGAAGGAAACUUUCUGGACCACCUCAAGCAUCACAGCUGGAAAUAAAGAUCAGAUACGGUCUAUAAUUGAAGCUGACCUCUUUCUACCCCUUGUUUAUCUGCUUCAAAAUGCUGGAUUUGAGAUCAAGAAAAAUGAUGCUUGGGUCAUUUCGAAGGCUCCUCUUGGUGGACCCAUGACCAAAUAAAGUUCUUGGUGAACAAGGGUAUGGUAUUAAGCCAUCAUAUGAUCUUCUUAUCUGUCCCGACCCAAGAAUUGUCACCAUCUGCCCUUGCUGGAAUAGAAACUUUGCUGCAUGCACGCCUUGAUAUGAAGACCACGGUUGGAGACUCUCAAGGAAGAAAUGCAAGAAGGUUUUCUUACAUCGGUACAUUGAGGAUUGCACGGAGGAAAUGGAAUUCACUGAAACUGAGGGCAAUAGGAAUGAUGUUGUGUCUGAGUAUCAGCAACACCUGUGCCUGCAUCUUGGAAAGAAGUUCACAUGAACCUAAAAGAAAGUUUACAAGCAAGGCCAAAAAGUCAGCUCAAUCAGUCCCUCCGGUUGCACCAAGGAUUUCUCUGCACUGUUCUGCUGCCUCAUUUCAUCCACAGGUGGGCCCACCUGUGACUGUCACCCAUGCGGUUCCUGCACUAAGUCCUCUGCCAAGCCACAUUCAACUUGCUGCCACAGCCUCACCUAUUAUUGGAACCCAACAUUUAGAUGCUGGGAAUUCAGUCAAGGAGCAGGUAUUAAGAGUAAAAAUUGUAACUGGGAGGAUCCUUGAACCCAUUCAAUGCCAAGGGCUGAUGGUGUUGGAGCCCAGUCUGCCUUGCGUGUCCAGUCAGCUUUGAUCACCAAACCAGGACCAAUCAAUUCAAAACUUCUACCCCACUUUCAUAAGUGGGAAGACAAGUGCCUUAUUGCAGCGUAGUUCUGUACCGCCAUCUCAACAACCUCCUGGUUUUGUUUUAGGAAUUGAGCCUACUACUCAAACCCCUAAGCCUGUUUCUCAGGCAGCACCUGUUCGUUCUCCUGAAAAAUCACAGGCUGCCACCAAGAUCAAAUCCCGUUGAUCCUCAUAGAAAAAAUGUCUCUCUUCUGGAGGAAUAUUUCAGUGUUCGAAUUUUUGAUGAAGCAUUACAGCGUGUUGAUGAGCUGAGGUCUCCUACAUCUCACAUGGCCACGGGCUGCUCUGAUGGUACUUUGAAACUAUGGAGAAGCAACUCUUUUAGAUCAUCAAGCCCUCAUUUUCUAUGGGAGCUUGUGGGUAUGUUUGUGGCACAUCAAGGACCCAUCAGUGCAAUAUCUUUGACUGAUUGCGGCCAGAGGAUUGCAACCAUCUGCAUGGUUGGUCAUUUAAGCACUGCCAGCACUCUUCGUAUAUGGGAGCUGCUUCAUUCAGCAGAAACUAGAAACUGCCACGGUGGAUGAAAAGACUAAGAUAUUUCCUGAGAUUGUUCACAUUCUCAUACUUCGAUGGCUGAUGUCUUUGGUAAUUAUCAUAUAGAAAUUUUUUGGGCAGGGGACAAAAAUGUUGGGAUUGAGUCAUAUGGGGCCAACAUGGUUGACACUUAGCAUAUCUGAAGGGAAGGCCAGAGGCCUAGAGCCGUGGCCCCUCGAUCUACCAAUUGUUUGUUUUGUCCCUUUAUACAACAUAGGGGGCGUCCUCAUGAGGAUUCGAUAUUAGGACUAAACCUUAUAUUCAACUAUUUUUUGGUAGCAUCUGAGUUAGUAUUGAAUUCUCUUAGGGACGCCCCAUAUGUUGUAGGACAAAACAAACAAUUGGUGGAUUGAGGGGCCACGGCUCUGGGUCUCUAGCCUUCCUUUCGAAUGUGCUAAGCCUCAACCAUGUUAGACCCAUAUGGCUCAAUCCCAAAGAGAAAUUCAAAGAAAGGCACUAACCAGCGAACUUACUGGCCAUGUUCCUCCCCUAAGCCUUCAAAAUGCCACAACUGCUUUACCUGAGGAUGAAUCCAGGAAGUUUGAACCUGUUAAGAGUGGUGGUGCUCAAGUUAGAAGCAACAAGCAAGGAUUUGGCUUUAGCCUCGUGAAGAGGUUCUACAACUUUAUAACAAAGCUGAAGACAAUAUGGCAAAAGGGAAUGCAGAUGUGGGAAGAAUUGGAGGAUCAGUAUCUGAGUGAACUGAGCAAACCAAAUAAGGUCAAAAGCCGGUUGCAGAAUAUGGGUUUGGAUGGACUUGUUGUCAUUGGUAGAGUUGACUCGGAUACAAAUGCUUGCCUUCUUGCUGAAAACUCUAGGACGCUCUGGUGAUUGGAUGCCCGAAGGCUAUUGGUGGUCAUUUGAAAUGCAAGGAGGGUCUCACAAGCUUAGUAUCAGCUUGUGAAUUUGAUACUGCAUAUAUGCAAGAUAUCUGCAGAAGUGUUAGGGCAUACAUGGCCACCCCUCAACGCUACCUCUCAUGCAUGCACGUGUUCCACUUCGUUUAGGUGUGCUGUUCACCACCUUUCCACCUCAUGUGUCUCUUUUGUCACAUGCAGUUUCUGCAUGCUUUUAUUUGCCUUUUUUUAGUUUCCCUUUUUAUUUAAUAAAUUCUUGUCUUCACUUAAAAAUUCCUCAUUAGAAAUCUUAGGUCACUAAAAUCCAAUUUUUAAUCAAUUAUUUGAUGUCAAAUUUCCUUCAGACAUGCAUUUCCUUAUUUUUCUUGAUUUUUAAAUAAUUUUUUAAUUUUCUCAUUUUUUAAAAUAAACAUGAAUAAAUUUUAUAUUUCCAAAAAUAAUGAAAUUUCCUCCAUAUUUCUAUUAUCAUUAGAAAGAUGGAAUUUAUAAAAUUAAUUCAUGAAAUUAAAUAAAUUGGACAUUGGUUAGGCCAACAUAUGUGAUUCUCUUUUUGGAUUAUUGUUUCUAUAUGCUUGCUAAAUAAUAAUUGACUCUGCCUUGCUCAAUGACAUACAUGAGAAUUUUAUAUUUGUUAUUGUACACUAACCCAUUUUUCAUGAAGUACUCAACUUGUUGCUAAAUGCUCCUUUCCUCUUUUAUUCAUUUGAUUAUUUUUUGAUACAUACUUUAGGCAAAAUAUAUCAUAUUCAUUGCUAAGUAUCCAUUGAUUAACCAACCAAUUUUCAUGUUUGCUUUACCUUGAUUAGUAGAGACGUCAUUUUAGGAUUUAGAGGGACGUUAUGACUUAUCACUAUACUUUUUAGAUAGGUAACUUAACUCUCGAAUUCAGUUUUUCAUAAACUUGUCUUUCCUUUUUAAGAAGUAAUACUUAGGGAUUUUUUUUUCUUAUUUUUUUUCGUUUAAAAAUAAAACAAAAAUUAGUGACGACUCCAACCCUUUUUCUAAAAAUUGGUUUUUUAUAAUAAAAAAAACAAGUCUCACCAUUGAAUGGGAAUUCAUGUGAAAAAUGUGAGUUCACAAAAUAGCGACUCCGUUGAGGAUCAUGAAAGGAUCAAACUUGAACUCAAAUAGAGAUAAAUAUGAAGUUUGAUUAGUCGAUUAAUGAAUACCUCCGUACUUUUCUAUGUUUGAGUGUUCACAACAUGUACAUUAAGAGUUUUGACAUGAUGAUUGUCUAUGCUUGUCUAUGCUUGUCCGUUAUAUUUAUUUGAGAUCUUGACACAUUGAUUUUACUGAUGUUGCCUACCUUAGCAUGUUGAUUUUUCUUUGUGUGUGUUUAUCAUGCUUAUCAUGCCAUGCAUAUUCCCAUUGUUUUAACAUAAAGUCUUUUUUUUAAGUCUUUGAAAGAAAAAGACAUUUUCCAUGAUAGUGAAUUAAUGAUCGGGCAUUGGAUAGAUGAAAAUCAAUUUAACACGAUGGUCAAAAUAACUUUAAAAUUGGAAAAAUGGGUUCUGUUUAGGAAGUGUUUUAAAAAACAAUUUAAAAAUAAUAAUUUUUUUAAAUCAUUUUCUUUAACUUGUUUUUUCCUAUAUUUUUAAAUGUCCUAAAAAUAAAAAAAAACUAUAUAAUGGUUUAUUUUUAAUUAUUCUCCAUAUUUGUAUAAUUAUUUUUUAAAUUAGUCCUUAGAAAAUAAUCGGAAACAAUAUUUAAAAGAUAUUCCCUAAAAAUAUCAUGUUUUCCUAAUUAAAAAUAUAUGGACUUCACUGGAAAAGAGAAGGAGAGAGGAAGCUAGACAGCAUAAAUGAGAGGAAAAUGGAUUAGAAAUAAGAGGAAAAGAAGUUUUUGAAGAAAAUAAAGAGGCUUAAAAAUCUUCAAAAUGAGUCGUUCCCACGAGGAAGAAUAAGCCAAGGAGGUCAUUUUUCCAACUUCAAACCCUAUAAGAUUACCAUUGAAGGCUUAAGGAAAUCAUCCCAACAACAGCAACAACAACAUAGUUUAUAUAUGGGAACUUAGAUGGAGAAUGGGAUCCAAGGUGCAGUAGUUGAACAUGAGUCAUGACCCCUUCUUUUUAGUGUCUUGAUGGCAAUUUUAAGUCUUACUGCUUCUUGGCAUGCCUCUGGCAGAAGGCUUUGAUCCUGCCAAGCCCAUCUUCAAGGGAGGGUGGCUCAGUGGCAAAAGUUAUACGAAGCCAAUUCUCCAUUCCCACAGUAAAACCUGCAACAAAGCCCACAUAUUACUCCAUCCUUCAUAUCUGUAAGCAAAGUGUAUCAUAUUUUGCAUAUCAUUGAUUCAUUUUUUCAUAAUAUUUGCAGUUCUCAUAUUCUCAAUUUGUUAACCUAACUUCGAAGACUCAAAUUCUUUGCUUCUUACCGGGCAAAAUAAUUACGGAUUCCUCUUUAGACAGCUUCACACAGAAAUCCAUAUCAUCCUCAAUGUCUUCUAGUAGAGACACAUUUAGAUUCACCUGCAAUGGUACUAUAAUUAAAAAUUUCUUCAACUCCAUAUUGUGAUUUGAAGCAACUCAUAAUAUAUAUCUCAUAUAUUCUUCCCUUACCAUUACCGACAUGGCUCCUUCUGGCUUGUGUGGGCAAGUAAUGCAGGGGAUAUCUGCAAGUCCAUCAAAACAUAUGUCCGCAGUUUUUCGGAGUAAGCCAAUAAUUCUUGAGAAGAAAUCAUCUGUUGUUUUCUCAAUGAUUUGAGGAACAGCCCCCUGAUAAACAAACCACAUGAUUAACUAAUGUGCUUGGUCUCCCUGGGAAAAUCUUAGGGUGUUUAUACUGAAAAUCAUAUGUAUAUAUUCAUCAGGAAAAUGCAUGUUGAAUCGCAAACGUGAAUGAAGGUUGCCGGGUCAGUACAAAUAUUGAGAGAACUCACAAUGGUUUCCACAACCUGGGAAGACAGACAAGAAAUAUAUAAGUUUUAGUUUGAGAACUGCACGAAAAUCAAAUCAGAAAUAUAAAGAUCAGAUACCAUUUUCAAUUUUCCUUUCAUAUCCUGCAUUUAAUUGCAAUACAUAAAUGGGGUUGCUCCACGGCACUAUGUAACAUGAACAAAUGUGAAAUUUUGAGAGAGCAGUAAAUUGGGGUGAUCAGGGAAGAGAGGGAGGACCCCGGAUUUGCAGAGGAUGCCAUUAGGAUCAUUUGUCACAAGCCAACCAAGUCUCCAACCAGGAACAAUCCAUCUCUUUGAUAUAGAUCCAAGUGUAAUAACAGGCGUAAUCGACCCAAAAACUCCCAUUGGCACAUAAGGGUUACUCCCAAAAACAAGGUGCCCAUAUACUUCAUCAGCAAUCACAAGAAUUCCGAGCAUUCUUGCAGUUUCCGCCACCUGCAAAAUCCCUAGCUGGAACAUCAUUUUCCAUUACAAAUUAAUUAUAAAACCAUGUUCCUAGAAGAUAGCUUAGCCUAGCCUACCUUCUUCAGAUGCUGGUGUGUGAAGACAUUGCCACAAGGAUUGCCGGGGUUGAUGAUAACCAUAGCAACAGUGUUCUCAUCUGCAAGAGCUUUGACUCCCUCCAGAUCAACCUCCCAACCCUUCUCGGGCAGAAGAUCGAACCGACGGAAUUCCAGAUGGUUAGCUGCAGCAUGAGCUUCAUAUAACGCAUAACCAGGUCUUGGGAGAAGAAUGUUGGCACCGGGGAGAGCAAGGACCUUUAUUAUGAGUUUAAUUGCUUGUGCACAUCCAAUUGUGAGAUAAACAUCAUCUGGGGAUAGCUUGUAUGGAAGAUCAGCAGAGAGAUAUUCCGCUAUAGCCCUUUUAAUAAAAUGGAAGUAUAAGCCUCAAGCUGAAUUCAUCAAUCUGAAAACUUUGCUAAAGGAAAAUGAUAGUCUUUUCUGGGACUGUCCAGAAAACAUGGAGCAUGUUGCAGCCAAAAACAACUAUUGCUGUUCUUAAAAAAGGAAAAGGAAUAGAACGAAAAGGACAUAGAAAAUAUAUAACAUAUGCUUCAAAAAUGGUUUGAAAUGAUUUCCAUUUCUCCGAUCAAAGUGGAUGCAGCAAGUGAGACCAAUACCCUACCUCCUCGCUGUAAGAACGCCGACGUCGGGGGAAUAGGAGUUGAAUUUCCGGGACCGGACGGCGUCGACAAUGGCCUCUUCGGCCUCCGGAGAGGUCCGGAAGGAGGAAAAGGCAGAUGGGUCACCUUGUCCAAGAGUAAUAACAGGUCUGCGAUCUUGUGGAUUAAGAUUAGAUAUAACUUUGCCCAGAACUCCCCUCACGGUGAUGGAGGAUGCUUUGUGCAACACUUGGUUUCCCCGGAAACCCCAUCUCUCCGCUGCCCCAUUCUCCAUCCUCUUCCUUUCUUCCUCCUCCAGAUUCGAGUUUUACAAUGGUCAGGAUUUCAGUGGAAGAGAGAAUUUUUUGUGGGAAAGGUGAUGGGGUGGAGUGGAGUCGAACCAGUCACGCUGGUAGAGUUUUGUCUCUUUCUUUGUAGUCUGUCUCCUUGCCCUCGUGUCCUUGGCAAAACGAUAGUGGUAACAAUUUGGAAAUGUAAAUUGAUGACGUUGGAGCUUGGAGUAGGUGUGAGACGACUGACGAGAACUUGUGAAGGUUAUUGGGGUUGGUGGCUAAUCCGAAUGAAGACACAAUCUAUUCAAGUUUAACCUAGCUGGAUCCUUCAGUCGAGGUUCUUAAUCCAAGUAUGAUUUCAUCUCAUCUCUUGAAACUCGAGUUAAAUUAAUUGACCAGGUUAAAGUCCGACAGUAUGAUUCAAAAUCCAACUAUAAUAUUUUUAUUAAGAAAAAAUUAUGUUUAUAUGACAUUUAAAACAUUAAACUUAUUGUAAACUUGUUUGGAUAAAUAUUUUAUUUUUAAAUUUUAUUUUAUUUUACUUAUAUUGGUUUUUAUAAUAUUUACUUGUUAUAUACAUAAUUAAAUAUUGAAUUAACAAAAAAAUUUGUUUAAAUGAGAGAGGAACAAUCCAAUAAAUUUGUUUUAAUAAAAAAAAAUAGUUCAUAAAAUAUUUUUCUUAAUAAAAGAGUUUUUUAUUAAUAAAAAUUCAUAAAAAUGUUCUUAGGAAAGUCCCAAAAAAAAUUUUAUAACAAAAUUCAAAAAAUUGUUUUUAGUCAUAAUUGCUUAAAAAUUUAUCUAUUUAAUAAAAAUUGUUCAAAAAAUUAGUUUUUAAAUAAAAUUGCUCAAAGGUUUUUUUUUUUUAAUAAAAUUGUCUAAAUUUAAAAAUAUAUAUAUAUUCUUAAUUAGAAUGGGAUUAAAAGUAAUUUUUGUAGAUAAAGGUUUAAUGAGAAUAGGAUGAAAGUCAUUAGUGCAAAUUGAAGCCCUAGAAAUCAUUUUCUUAAUAAAAUUAUAUUAAAAAUAUUUUUGUAAAGAAAGUUUGUAAAAAAAUUAAUUCCUUUAUAAAUAAAGUUGUAAAAAUUCAUUCUUUUUUCUAGUAAAAGUAAGUAAAAAUCUUUUUAUUGUCAAAUUAAGAUUUUUAUAAUAAUUUUUUUGAUAAAAUGAGUGUAAAUAAAUUUUUUUGAAAAGUGAAUACAAACAAAUUCAAUCAAAUAAUUUAUUGCAAAUAAAUUAAAACUUUUUCUUUGUAAAUAAAUUCAAAAUUAUUUUUUUAAUAAAAUCCUUUGAAAUUUCUUGAAAAACUAAUUUUUGAAAUAUUUUUUUUAAUCAAUAUAAUAAUUCAAUUUAUAUAAUUUUCAUGUUAUUUAUUUUGUCUAUUCUUAUAAUUUGAUUUUUACCAUGAUUUGUAUAUAUUAAUUUGUGUGAUUUUUUUUCUUGUUUAGUAGAUAACAUAUGUACAGGAGCUUAAAGGGAUGUUAUAACUCACUACAAUACCUUCUCGAUAAGUAACUUGACCCUCAAAUUUAGAUUCGAUUUUUUAUAGAUAUGUUUUUUUCUAAAUAUGGAGUCACAUAUGAUUUCAUUUUUUAUUUUGUUUUUUCUUAAAAAUAAUAAAUAAAAUAAGUAGCGAUUUCAGUCUUUUCUAAAACUCAAUUUUUUUCCAUAAAUAAAAAGCGACUAUCAUUGUCGAGCCACAAUAAGUAAUAAUUUUUUUAAUAAUAUUGUUUUUUUUUUUAAAUUACCACUCCUAGGGUGGAGUGGAAGUUGAUGUCUUGUGGGUUGCUGCAUGUGCUUCCACCAUAAGAAUAUUCAUUGCCACUAUCACAUUGCAAUAUGCAGUAUUUUAUUUCACUUAAAAUAUACAGAUAUUAUAAAAUAAAUAAAUAAAUAAAAGCACAAGGAGAGACAAGGGUAGACUAGCAUAUAUUAAUGAAGAAAUUUGAUCACGUGACUUUGAAUCAUUAAUUAAAUAAUAAAGCAUUUAAUAUUAAAACUCACCUAACCUUCUCCCCCAAUCCCCUCUACAACUUUUAAGGAGAAAACAAAGGUGAUCAUUUUCUUCUAUGCACAAUUUAUAAUUAUAUAUAUAUAAUUUUAUAAGAAGAUUUUUUUUUAAUUUUUUAAUUUUUUCAUUUCUUUUAAUUUUUUUAAUAAAUAUGUAAAAUACCUUUAAUUUUAUAAAAAUGAUAUAAUAUUAAAUUUAUUGGAAAAGUUAUUCAUGUUAAAAAUAUUCAAGGAAUUCUUUUCUUUAAUUCCUCUAAUUUUAAUUUUAAUAAUAAUUUAAGGAAAAGUGUAAGCAGAUCACCCUUUUAUAUGAUAUAUUAUUUUAUUUUAUUUUUUCUAUAAUUUUACUUUUUGUCGAUUUUUUUUGGCUUUUUGUUUUCAGCGUUUACCACUGAUAGAAAAAGAGGCUUGCAAGACAAGCAACCAAAUGGACAAAAUCAAAUCAAUUUUCAAUAUUAAUAGAAUCAAAGUUGCCAAAUAUUCAAAGCAAACAAUCUUAUAAGGUAGGAAAUUAAGGUGUCAUUUGACAACUUAUUUGAAUAAGUUAUUUUUUUAAAAUAAAAUUCUGUUUUGAUUUUAUAAAAACAUUAUAAAUUUAAUUUAUAUAAUAUUAAUUCAAAUUUUACUAACAAUGAAAAUAGUUUUGUAUUUGUUGGUCCAAAGGGUUCUCCUAAUCGGGUUUUGAUGAUAACAAAUCAUGGUUAAGUAACUAAUUUGUUUAAUGGUUAAAAAUCUCAAAUAUAAAUUCGAAAAUUCAUCAAAUGACCAAAUGGAUAUAAGAUCGAGACGCUUGGAAGACUUGUGAUCAUAGGAAACUAAUGUAAGAUGAAUGCAUGAGUGCACUUAGGAUUUUCACACGUUUCAUGCAUCUUUGAAAACUCGGUUUAUUCUUUAAAACAUCGAUUUCAUUAAAACCCGAGUUUUUAACUAAUGUACCUUAUGCAAAAUGUUUUAUAAUUGGCUUAAUAAUUUACCUAAAGACUUUGCCUAAGUGUUAAAAAAUAAAGGAAUUAAAAAAAUAGGUUUUCGGGGCAAAAAGGGUUCAACCGGUCGAGGCUAUGGCCAACCGGCGUGCUCGUCCGGUCGAUGACCAGUCGAGGGAGACCAAAAAGUUACUCUCUCUCCCAGUAGCCUUCUCUUCCCGAUCGAGGUCCGGUUAAGGCAACGGUAACUUGUCAUGCAUUAAAUGCUUCAACGGCUAAUGAACAGGUCAACCCCUAGCUCGACCGGACGAGGUUACCUUUUGCUAUUGUUGACUUCCGAGCUUAGAAACUUAUAAAUUGAGAGCUCUACUUCAUUUAUUAAUAAGAGAACACUUGCAUUCAAUAACUUAUCUGUUCUUGAUAAAAAAGCUUUCAUUUCUUUCAUAGUGCAUUAAAUCACCACUUGCAUAUCAUUUAGUGCACUAUUGUGUAUCAUCCUAGCUUUGUCUUAUAUUUAAGCUAUCCUUAAGCUAGGUUGAGGGAUUAUAUCUUGUAAAAAUCUGAGUGUUAAAGCCUUCAAGAGGUUUGAAUCUUGAAGAGGUAGUGUAAGAGCCCAUUGAAACCGGAAUCCAAGUGUAAGAAGAUUGGAAGCUUGGUUCAAACUUCAAGUUAGUGGAACCCUCACUCGGUUAGGAGGUUGAGGAGAGUGGACAUAGGCAAGGAAGUGUCGAACCACUAUAAACCCGAGUUUGAAUUUUUUAAACUCUAUCUCUUUACUUUACUUAUAUUGUAUUUGAAUUUGUUGUGAUUGAAAAUAUUUUAAAAACCCAAUUCACCCCCCCCCCUUUUGGGUGUUUUUCUUAACUAAGCAUAACCUUUGUUUUCUCAGUAUUUAUAAAUAACUUAAAAAAUAAAUAGUAACGUUAUAAUAAAAUCAUAAAUUAUAUUUUUUUAUUAAAAAUUAUUAUUUAGUAUAUGUUUGAAAGAUAAGGAUAUUAAUGUCUAUGUAGUUUUUUUCUAAAAAAAAUUAAUAAUAAAAAAUGGUUAAAAAUAUUUUAUUUAAAAUGAAAAAACAAAUCUAACUUUUAUUAAAGAAUUUAAAUUAUUAAUUAAAUCUUGUUUAAUUUAUAAUCUAUUUACCUAAUGAGAAAUUCAAGAAAUAUAGUUAUGUGUAUAGAAGAAAUAGUAAAGUCUUAAUUCAAAAUAUAGUAGCUUUGAUUUAUAAUUUUUCUUAGUGAUUAGAUCUAUUUUUUUAAUUUCAAAUUAUAACUAUUUAAUAAUAAAAAAAUCAUUAAUAAAUUCGAUACAAAGUUUCAUUUGAUCAUUUGAAGUUCAUUUUUCUUGUGAAAAUUUUUAUAAAAAUAUAAUAUAUAUGUGUAAAAAAAUAAUAGUCACUAUAAACCAAAUUUUAUCCAUAAAUUUUUAUAUUAAUUAAUUUAUAAUUUUAGUUUAAAAUACUUUUAAAAAUUAAUAGAGUCUUUGAAUGAAUUCAAGGCAUUAAUCUUGUUUAAUUUGGAGUUUAUUUGUCUAGUGAAAAAAUAAUAAUAAUAAUGAUUCUAUCUAUAAGAAAAGCAAAAGAUUCGUUCUAAAUAAUUUUUGUUUAUAAAUUUCUUGUAUUAAUUGAAUCACUAUUUGGGUUUCAAUUUUUUUUUAAAAUCCCUAGACUCGUUAAUGAAUCCAAUACAUUAAGUCUUUCUUAAUUUGAAAUUCAUUUGUCUAGUGGGAAAAAAAUGUAAUGAGUCUAUGUAGAAAAAAAACAAAAAUCAUUCUACAUUAAGUUUUAUUCAUAAAUUUUUAGUAUUAACUGGAUCACUAUUUGAAUUUUAAGUUAUUUUUUAAAAUUUUCUAGACUUAUUAAUGAAUUCAACAUAUUAAGUCUUGGUUAAUUUAAAGUUUAUUUGUCUAGUGAAAAAUUUUAUAAAUAAAUAAAUACUUUUGAAAUAAAUUUUGGUCUAUAACUUUAUAAUGUUAUUGAGUUUCACAACUUUUUAGUAGUAAUUAAAUUGGUUUUAAGUUUCAAAUUACUUUUGAAAAAUAAUAAAUUUAAUGUAUCAAGUAUAGUUCAAUUUGGAAUUUAUUUGCUUAACCAAAAAUUUUAGAAAAGUUCAAAGAAAUUCAAAAAAAACAAGUGUAAUUUAAAGAAAAAUCAUAUUUGAAUAUUUUCAAUAUUAGUAUUAGAUCGUAGUCAAAGAAAAAAAAAAGACAUCCUAUUCAAUUUUAUUUGUUUUUUAUAGGUUUUUUUUUUAAUUUAUCUAUAUUUUCCUUUUAUGUUCUAAAAUUGAUGAAAAUAAUUUAUACUUGUUCUUUAAAAACUAUUAUCUAUUUCACUUUAUUUUUAAAAACUAAAAACAAUGAACAAUGACCAAAUAAUAUUAUCAAUUUUUAAGAACAAAUUUUUAUUUUUGCAAAUAGAAAAUCAUUUUUAAUUAUAUGGCCAAACAAACUCUAAUAAUAUUGUUUUUAGACCUACAUUCAAUAUUGAUGGAUCUCCCCAUCUAUGAAUCCCUUCCUUGUCUAGGACAUAGAUGGACAAAUUAUUAUCAGACUUUAAACUUGAAAACCCGCUAUUCAUAAAGUCAAUUAUUAACCUUUAAAGCAAUAAAGGCGCAUAUGAAAAGUUGUAGCUUGGUCAUGAUAAAUAGCCACCAAAUAUAAAAAAUCAGGUAUGAAAAAAGACUCUCUAAAGAUAUUAUCGUCUGUCUCUUCCAAACCUCAACUUAAACUUUGGAGGGGCGUGCUUGAACAAAACAUCUAAACAGACCUUGUUACAGAUACACCACCAUUGUCCAUUCAAAGGCAAUUUGAAGGAAGUUAGCUGAAAAGGACAUUGCUAGUUGUAUACCAACAAUUUUCAUUCUCUUUGAAAAACAUUUAGUGAUUCUCUUUAAACAUUCUUUGAAAGAAAUACUUGAAAUCAAAUAUAUUAGUGUCAUCAUAUGAGUUGAUGUGGUAGAGCUUGGCUCUAUUUUUGAAAAGCUUUCAAAAACAAUUCUUAAAAUAUCUUUAAGUCAUUUUGAAAAACAAAAGAAAAAAAAAUUAUUUAAAAACUCAAAUAUGAGAAAUAGUUUUAUAGAGUGUUCUCUAUAAAAAUAGUAUGCACCACUUACUAUAAUACAAAAAUUUUCAAAUUAGUCACCAUAAUUUUUAUUCUUGCUCAUAACAAACUACAAAAAACAAUUGAAAACACCUAAAAAUUGUCCUAAAAGACAACUUAUUUUUAAAACAAAUUCUCAAAAACCUGUUAUCUAUUUAAAGCUUGCCAAACAUGUUUUUUUGAGUUAAAAACUAUUCUCAACAACAGUUUCAGACACGACCUAAGUUUUAAUAAAAUUAUUAUUAAAAAGGUUUAAGAAAUCAUCUCAAUAACAACAACAUAGUUUUACACAGGAACUUCAAUGGAGCAUGAGAUCCAACCAGCAGUUGUUGAUCAUGGCUGCUUAUUAAUUUGUGUUGUCUUGAUGCCAAUUCAAGUCUUAUUGCUUCUUGGCAUGCCUCUGGUAGAAGGCUUUGAUCCUCCCAAGUCCAUCUUCCAGAGAGGGAGGCUCAAUGGCAAAAGUUAUUCUAAGCCAAUUCUUCAUUCCCACAGCAAAACCUGCAACAAACACCAAACAAAAAUGCCUUAAAGCCAGGUGAGAAGCCCACAAAAGAGCAACAAGGCGUCAAUUGUUGGAUCGUGAAGCCUAAAUCAAUCUUAUUGUGCUUCACUGGGAUGCCCAAGUUGAGCUCCCAGUUGAGUUCACGAGAUCGAGCUGCCCGAUCAAUUUGUAGGAGUAUAAGGGGCAACACCCUUUCAAAAAAAAAAAAUUCUUGAAUGUUGGUGCAAUCUGUGGACGUAGGGAUCACAUUGAUUAUUGAAUUACGUUAAAAGUCUGGUUUUUUAUUUAUUUUUGCUCGAGUGUGUGGUUUGGUUAACACUACUAGCAUGGAAACUUCAAAGGCUUAAGUUUUUCGCUCCUUACCUGGAAAAACAAUUACUGAUUCCUCUUUAGACAGCUUCAUACAGAAAUCAAUAUCAUCCUCAAUGUCUUCCAGCAGAGACAGGUUUAGCUUCACCUGCAAUGGAAUUUUGAAAUCAAGAAAAUCAUAGACUCGAUAUUUUGAAGCAACAUAGUAUUUCGUAUUUUUUGUCCUUACCAUCACAAACAUGGAUCCUUCUGGCUUUGUGUGGGCAGGUCAGGCAAGGGAUAUCUUCAAUUCCAUCAAAACAUGUGCCCGCAGUUUCUCUGAGUAUGCUAAUGAUCUUCAAGUAAAAAUCAUCUGUUGUUUUCUCAAUGAUUUGAGGAACAGCCCCCUGAUAAACAAACCCCAUUAUCCUAAUAUAUUGGAUUGGCAACAUGAAUCUGUAUUGCUGUUAUCAACUUGAAAAAAAUCACAAACCUGAAUGAAGGUUGCAGGGUCAGAGGAAAUAUUGAGAGAACUCACAAUGGAUUCAACAACCUGAGAAGAAAGACAACAAAUGUAUAAGUUUCAGUUUAUGAGAACUGCAAGAACGUCAAACCAAGAUGUAAUAUAACCACUAAAUGUGAAAUUCUGAGUAGAAGAGAGAAAGAG